CCGGGGGCUCGAUCCGGGUCGAGUUUGUUCAUGUUCCUGCAACCGGGUUGCGCCAGAAGAUCGUGUACUGUAUACUGGGCAUACGGUACAGGCGGGAUAGGAUCAGCGUGAUCAGGCUCGGCCUGUGCGGGAGCCGCUGGUUCGACUGGUGGUGGUGGAGGCGGUGGCGGCUGCGGAACAACGACCGCUGCUUCUUCUUCUUCUUCUUCUUCUUCUUCUUCUUCUUCUUCUUCUUCUUCUUCUUCUUCUUCUUCUUCUUCUUCUUCUUCUUCUUCUUCUUCUUCUUCUUCUUCUUCUUCUUCUUCUUCUUCUUCUUCUUCUUCUUCUUCUUCUUCUUCUUCUUCUUCUUCUUCUUCUUCUUCUUCUUCUUCUUCUUCUUCUUCUUCUUCUUCUUCUUCUUCUUCUUCUUCUUCUUCUUCUUCUUCUUCUUCUUCUUCUUCUUCUUCUUCUUCUUCUUCUUCUUCUUCUUCUUCUUCUUCUUCUUCUUCUUCUUCUUCUUCUUCUUCUUCUUCUUCUUUGGUGGUCUUGACUGAGUUUUGUGUGUGUGUGGUGUGUUUUACAAAAAACAGGGAGAGUGUUGUGGCAGAGAAGGUGAAGGAAGCUCACCGGAGGGUGAUGGUUGCAAACCACCCGGACGCUGGAGGCAGCCACUAUCUUGCGUCUAAGAUCAAUGAAGCCAAAGAUAUGAUGCUUGGCAAAUCUAAUAACUCCGGUUCUGCAUUUUGAUUGUCAUGAUGAGCUUGAUAAACGUAACCCAACGGAACUCUGUAUUUUUUAUUUGAAUUUGUCUUGAAUGUUGCCACCAUUUCAUGAUGUAUAUCAUUACGAUUCCAAAGAAACAUUGAUCAAACAACUCUUUCUUCUCUAUUUUUGCCAAGCAGAUAACUUUUCUGCAUGUAAAUGUUUAAUGGCACCCAUUACAAAGAGCAGCUACCUUAAAUAAUUUUUUUGAUUUUUUAAAUAUUUUUGUGAUCUUUUCACUAGUGAUGCGGUCAAUGACUGAACGCAAGUGCCGUAAAAGAGUUGCUGCAAAUCUUGUUAAUAACCCAUUAUUUAUUUCGAUUAUCACAUGUACUUGUUUAAUGGCUGAAUAUAACACUUCCUAUGUCAAGAAAACCGUUGACAAAUUCCCUUUCACUAAACUCUUUUAAGUCUUUAGAAUGUAAAAUGUGAUCCAAAAUAAAAUCNNNNNNNNNNNNNNNNNNNNNNNNNNNNNNNNNNNNNNNNNNNNNNNNNNNNNNNNNNNNNNNNNNNNNNNNNNNNNNNNNNNNNNNNNNNNNNNNNNNNNNNNNNAGCUUGGUGAUGUGACAAGGUCCCGCGCUACCGGAUAGGUCGACUCUAGAGGAUCCCUCUUCUUCUUCUUCUUCUUCUUCUUAUUAAUUAACUAAUAUAUUUUUUACCAACAGGAUAUUAUCAAUCGAUUAUUGUAUACAUCCGCAUCGAAACCGAUAUAGUAAAUAACUGCUUACAAACGAGCACAACCUUUUUUAUAAUUAUGGAAAUCUGCUUUAACAUGACUACUUCGAUUUUCAUGAGCAAACUCAAAAUUCAGGUAUAUCCCCAAAGUAAGGCAUCUCCGAAUGGAUAUUAAUUGAAAUGUAGGGAUUUAUUUGAUUAUGUAUUUGCCAUAAUUUUUGACAUGCAGUCAUAAUAUUGUGUUGACUAUGACAUGUAGCCUAAUCGUUUUGUCAUACAUUGUAUUGCCCAAAUUAGAUUGUCUAAAUUUACAGCUUGAAGUACUCGAGGACUUGUUUGGGAACCUAACAAAUCAUUCAAUUCGUGGUCAUCCGUUUGAAUUGAACAGGCGUACUGUUUGUGGUAGGGUCGUCCAGUCCCAACCCAAAUGGGUUGGACACAACUGUGCCGUCCCAAGGUCCAUUAAUAUUAUAAAAAAUAAAAUCUUAUACUGACCUUUUCAAGAAUGACAACAUUGAGCGUACAUUUUAAAAGUUGAGCGUACAUUUUAAAAGUUGAGCGUACGUAAAAACGAAAGUUGAGCGUACGUAAAAACGAAAGUUGAGCGUAGUUCAGUAGGUCCAAUUUUUUUUUUUAAGUUGAGUGUAGUUUUUUCCCUAAGGCCAUUAAUUUUGUCGGUAAUGAGCGUGUCUGACGUAAAAACGAGAACAAACUUUAAAAAUUAAAUUUGUUGUUUUUAAAUUAAAAUUAAUUUUUUUUUGUAUAUAUCGCAUCAAUAUAUGAAAAUGAGUAGUCCAGUAAAGUCCCCCUCCUAUAAAUUUCUACAGAAUACACACCAUAAUGUCACGAGUUCUUGAGACAGAUUUAUUAUUUAUCUAUUUUUUUUAAAAAAAAAACUCGAAUACGAACUUUAAUAUUGCAAAACUCAGUAAGCUCCACGAGUAAUAGACCCUUUAAACACAAAAAGAUUCUCACCAUUUUCAACACCAUGCCACCGAAGACUACAGUUCUCUCGCAUAAUCCGUUGCUUGUGUACGAAUAUAUACUCGUCUCUUGGUAACAUCUUGGUAGCUUGUAACCCUUCUCUCAUCUCCGAUAUGGUGCAAGAGUCAUUAAUCUCCACAGGAAUCCUCGCACCGUUAAAUAAACUCGAUGACGUCUGCACCAAGAAACUGAGUUUCCUCACUGGAGCAACGUCUUUGGCUCGGUUGAUUGACUUGAGAAACACGACAAUCUCUGAGAAUUCUCUGAUUCCGUAUUCGUUUAGGUUUCGAAAAUCGUCGGCUAGCUCGAUCCCGGAGAAGUAUAACUGCAUUCGUUUUAUCGGUGUGUUCUCCACAAUGUGGAUCUUGUCCUUCAGGCUACUUACCUACAAAAACAUUAACUUAUUAAUCAAGAAACUUAAAAGACGGUAACAAGAUGUGAGAUGAAACAUUAAAAGUUACCGUUUCGGUUUUGUCUACUUCGAUGUCGAACUGUUUUGACGGGAACUUGACGGUGACGUGGAUUUUUUUAACAGCGGGGUUAGUAUAAGAGGGCGCGGUGAAAAGGGGAGUUACGGUAAGGUCGAUCCUGGUGCCGUGUGAGAUGAUUGGGUAAUCAUCGAUGUCGAGACCGUCGAGGAGUUCCCAACAAGAGACAAAGAGAGUUAAAGAAGAUGUUGGGAUCUGAAGAAACUGUCCUAAUCGCUUCUUAGACCAUGUGCAACGGCGUAUACACGUUGCGUCUCCAACCAUUUUUUAGCAAUUAAGUAAAACAAAAACACAUAAAAAAGAAGAGAGACGUCGCGAAAUUAGAGACUGGAGAAACGUUUUUGGCGACCACGUGGCGUGUUGUUAUUGGAACCAAAAAAAUGAGAUGGAAGAAAAUGCAUUCUCUUUUUUUUUACCCGAAAACUUUGUUUUUUUUUCACUCUUGUUCUCUCUGUCGGCGAUUGAAGCUUCGUUCUCUCCGUCGGCGAUUGAAGCUUCUGUCGGCGAUUGAAAUCAAAACAGUCUUCGUUCUACCCGAUAACGAUGUCCUCGCAACAUCUGCUUGGCGGAAUGAAGGAUCAAUUGAAGCUUCUGUCGGCGAAGGUAAGCAAAGCGUCAAAUUGAAAUUGUUUUGAUUUUUGUAUUUAGAUUCUAUGUUUGGGAUGAAAUGGUUUAAUAAAAGGGUGUAGAUUUAUCGGGUUUAAGUUGUGAUUUGAUUUCUAUGCCGAUUUGGUCUGGGAUGAUAUGGUCUUCGACUUUGGGUUUCAUAUCGCCUCAAUGUGGAAUUUUGUUUUUGCUUUGUUUGUUCUUGUUUUGAGUUGUAAUUCGACAAGAUAGACAAGAGGAGAAUUCAUGCUCAUUAACUCUUCUUGGUGUUUCAGUUAAUCUCACGAUUACAUUUGGAUCAGUUUUGGUGUGUUUAAGUUUGUCUUCCAUCUUUGUAUCAGUUUGUAUAUGUUUAAGUUUGUUUAUAGUUUGACACGUUCAUUAACUCUGCUUGUUUUGUUUAAGAAAUAAGUUCUGAGCAUUGGUACUUUAUGGUUCCGGUUGUAAGCUAACCUGAACGUUGGUAAUAGUUGGUCAAGUUCUUUAUAUUUGUUUGUUUUCUUUAUAGUUGAACUUCAUUAACUGUGAUUGUCUUAUCCAUGUCUUGUUUGUGUAGUUGUAGUUCAUUAACUGUUGUUUGUAUAGGUUCUCUUUGCUAACUCUUAUUUAUUGUCGCCUUUGUUCUAUGCACGCCGAGUGAAUGUUGCGGAAUGACAGGAAGAGGAGAGAAGAAGCACAUCUGCAUAAGGCUAUCCAUCUUCAAUAUCCUGAAAAGGUAAGGUACAAUCACUUACUAGGUAGUUGUAUUAAAUGGGUUUAGGUAGUGUUAGAUAAUAAAUGGAAUAAGGGAUUAGUUAAUGUAGAAGGUAGAUAUAUGUCUAGUCAAGUCUAAACCCUUGUGAUGAAUGCUUCUUGUAUAUGGUUGUGUUUAAGGUAGGCGUAGAAUGAUGAAUGCUUCUUGUUUGUGGUUUUUCAUGCUUCUAUAAAUUCUUCUCUUUUUCGCAUUCCUUUCAUCCUGUUCCCUCUUUCUAUUCUCUCUUUCUGUUCUCUCGUUCUCAUCACUUUCUAUUCAUAUUAGUCAAAUUUUCUUCAACCAUUUCCCUCUUUCUAUUCUCUAUUCUAUUCAACCAUUAUGUCUUCUCGCUUCCCAUUUAACAACCCCUCAAACUUUGUUGAUCUUUUACAAAGUCAACAAGAGAGUGUAAACCCUUACCCAAAUCCAUACCCUUCAUUAGAAAACCCUGCCUUUGGUACCCAAGCUUCCAUCGAUGAAGUAGAAGAGGUUGGAGUGACGAGCAAGGUGAUAAGACGACCUUGGAGCCUUGCGGAAGAUACCCUUCUCAUCAGCGCCUGGUUAAACACCUCGAAGGACCCGGUUGUAGCAAAUGAACAGAAAAAUGGAACUUUCUGGAGCCGCAUAGCUUUGUAUUUUGCAGCGAGUCAAAACGGAGGAGAAGUCCGAGAGGCAGGACAAUGCAAACAAAGAUGGCACAAGAUUAAUGAUCUUGUGUGCAAGUUUUGUGGGGCUUAUGAGGCUGCAACAAGAGAAAAAACUAGUGGUCAAAACGAGAAUGACAUUCUCAAAAAUGCGCAUGCUAUUUUCUUCAAUAUCCAUAAGAAAAAAUUCAGUAUGGAACACGCUUGGAAGGAGCUGAAGAACGAUCAGAAAUGGUGUGAUUUGUCAGCCAUUAAAACCAAUGCAAGCUGUAAAAGGAGGAGACCCGAUGAUGUAAAUGCAGAGGGGAAUGAAGAUGGAAACAAGAAUGGUGCAGCUAAUCAGGGAACGGUCAGACCUCCUGGUGUUAAAGCCGCAAAGGCUAAAGGCAAAAAGGUCGACGUGGUUGAGGCUGUUAAUGUGUUCAGCAACAUGUGGGGUAUGAAAAGAGAAGAACUGGUUUUGAAAAAAGAAACCCAAAAGAUGGCUCUUCUUGAUUCCCUUAUUGCGAAGGGACCCCUUUGUGAAGAAGAAGAAGCUCUGAAGAUGCAGCUUAUCUCCGAAAUGAUGCAGAAUCAGUGACUUGGAACUUGUUACAUGGUCAUGUUUGUAACCGUUAUGUGUCUGUUAGGUGUCUGUUAUUUUUAUGAUGUUUGUGUCUGUUAUGUUUCAGUUUUAGAGUUCUCUGUUAUGUGGUUAGUGUUUAGUUUGGUAUGGUUCAGUUUCAUAAUUGUCCCUUAUGUGUAAUGUUCUAAUGUUAGAGGAGAAUCUUUAUUGACCUGGCUUUUAAACUUAUGUCUUUGUAUUUCAGUGUUCAAAGUGUGUUGUGGAGACAUAAAGUGAAAAGAUAGUCACGGGUUCAUCAAAGUAAAGAUGCAGCUUACACAAAGAGACAACAACAUGUGGGUGAAAAAUUCAAAGAGAAUUAUUGUUCUUUUGGGUCCAUAUUUGGCUUUGUCUUUGUAUUAUUGUUCUUUGUAUUAUUGUCCAUCUUUCUAAGAGAAAAUGAUUCUCCAUCGUUCUAUAUAUAUGUACGUCGUUUUUAAUAUACACAAUGUCCACAAACUCUUUUUCUCAAUACAAUCUAUACUCUCAUUUUCAUUCUCAUUGUGCAUUCUCAAAUUCCAACCUCUCUAAAUUACCAAAUCCUCGUACUCACUUUAACCAAAUUCUCUCAUCUCUUCUAUUUUCUUAUGGCUUCUUCUUCCCAAAAUCCCUUUGAUGAAACUUAUGAUCAGAUUUAUGAUCAGUUUUACGAAGACACAUUCCAAAACCUCUUAAUUGAUUUAGCUGAUCAAGCAGAGGCAACCUCAUCCAAGAAGAAAAGAGCUUUCAUAGAAAGAAACCGAGAGGAAGGCCACAUAAGAUUGUGGAAUGAUUACUUCAGCGAAAACGCAAUUUACCCGGAUCACCUUUUCCGGCGACGUUUUAGGAUGAACAAGGCAUUGUUUUUGCGUAUUGUUCAUCGGCUCUCCAACGAAGUCACUUUCUUUAAACAGAAGCAAGAUGCUCGGGGUAGACUUGGUCUAUCGGCACUUCAGAAGUGUACAACCGCAAUUCGUCUAUUAGCUUAUGGCACGGCACUUGAUACCGUUGACGAAUACCUACGUCUUGGUGCAAGUACAGCCCGUUCAUGUCUGGAAAAUUUUGUUGACGGAAUUAUAAAUCUCUUUGGCGACGAGUACCUCAGAAGACCCACAGCAGACGAUCUUCAACGUCUACUUUAUAUGGGAGAAGAACGCGGAUUUCCCGGGAUGAUAGGAAGCAUUGACUGUAUGCACUGGGAGUGGAAGAAUUGUCCAACCGCUUGGAAAGGCCAGUAUACACGAGGUUCUGGGAAACCGACAAUAGUCUUAGAAGCGGUAGCUUCAUACGAUCUCUGGAUUUGGCAUGCCUUUUUCGGACCGCCAGGUACCCUAAAUGAUAUAAAUGUUUUGGAUCGGUCGCCCGUUUUUGAUGACAUUAUAAAUGGUCAAGCUCCGAGAGUUAAUUUUUUUGUCAAUGGAACGGAGUACCAUUUGGCGUACUAUCUGACAGAUGGUAUAUAUCCCAAAUGGGCAGCUUUUGUCCAAUCUAUACCUAAACCACAAGGUCCAAAAGCAUGUUUAUUUGCUGAACGCCAAGAAUCUGCCCGUAAAGAUGUCGAGAGGGCUUUUGGAGUUUUGCAAGCUCGUUUCGCCAUUGUCAAAAAUCCAGCUUUGUUUUGGGAUAAAGAAAAAAUUGAAAAGAUUAUGAGAGCUUGUAUCAUACUCCACAAUAUGAUAGUUGAAGACGAACGAGAAGGAUACCAACACUUUAAUGUUCAAGAAUUCCAACAAGGAGAAGGAGGCGGAAGUUCUAAUGUGGAUUACUCGUACUCCACAAACAUGGCAACAAAUAUUAUAAAUAUGAUGGAUACCCGAAGAAAAAUUCGAGCACCAGAUAUGCAUCACAAAUUAAAAGCUGAUUUGGUUGAACACAUCUGGCAAAAAUUUGGUUAAGCUCAAAAAUCAAUCACAAGUGUAAUGUAUAAUAUUUUAUGUUCUAUUUGUUGUAAUGUUUUAGUAUUUCUUCUAAUGUUGUAAUGUAAAAUAAAAACUGAAGUUUAAUGUAAAAUUUUUUUUUUUAUGUCAAAUUGAAGUUUAAUAAGAAAUAUAAUGUAAACUUUAUGUAACAUAGAAGUUUAAAGUAAAAUAAAAACUAGAUUUUUUAAAAAAAAAUUUUAAGAAAUCAUUAGAAUUUCUCCCAUUGGAGCAUACAAAAAUACAAAGUCUCUCUCUUAGGUUUCUACUACUAAAACUAUCCAUUUUAUUAAUAAAAAAAGGGAUAGAGACUCUAAAUGGUCUCUCUCAUUGCACAUGCUCUUAAUGUUCAACACAGAUUCUUGUUCGCUGAUUUCCAUGGUGAAUUCUUGGGUGUAUGAGACAAUUGUCACAAUCAUAUUUACAAAAAAAAAUGAUGUUUAUGGGAUAAAAAAUGAUACUGUGAAUUCACAAUGCGUUAUGUAUAUAUACAGCGAAAAGUACAAGUUGCUGAAUGCAUGUAAAAAGGACUUGGGGGAAAAUAAGAAAUUCAUGAUAGUAACUUGAUGUGUAGUUGGGUCUUGUUUGUGUCAUUGUCUGUGUGUGUGUCUGUUACUCUGUUACACUAUGGGUCUAUACGUGAUAUUCGAUCGAAUUUGGCAUGAUAUUCGAUUAGGUAGUUAGCGAAAAUAAUACUACUUGUAAAUCAGCUUAAGGUUUGAGACGUGAGACAUGAGUCAAAAACUGGAUUCAUUGUAGAGGAAUCCAGAUAGUUUUUUUCUUUAAAGAAAGUAGUAGUUGAGUGAAGAACUGGAGGGGAAAGAUUUUUGAUUUGUAUAACUGUUACGAAAUUAUUCAACCGAUAAACCAAAGAUAAAUAAAAUCAUGACAACAUAGAUUAUAACAGCUACUGCAAAUCUAUGUAAAAUCAUCUGUUAUUUAGCCUAAUAUUUAUUGGCCUCAUGAGAGAUUAUUCUCUCUGCCUCGAGAUUUGUUUAACUUCUGCUUGCAAUAGAUAUGCGGGAAACUAUACCUGUCCAACAGACUAGAAUCGCCAGAGAUGUCAGAAAAUUCUUUACAGUAAAAAUUGAUUCAUUCUUCGGUAUCUCCAACAGAUCCUUCAUCUGCAAUACCAUUAGCACAAUAUUGAUUAGCUCAUCUCUGUGACGUUUAAUCAAAAUCGAGAUUGAAAAAAGAUUGUGGCUACUAACCUUUAUAGGUUGGUUCCAGUUCUUCUUGAUCCCUUGAAGAUGCCCUCUACCAACAACUGCCACGACCGAGCUAUGCUCACUUGCAACUCUUAACAACAUACAUGCCAUGUACCUAACGCAACAAUUUUCGAAAUAAUCAGGAAACUACUGUUCACUUUUAAAACUUAGCAAAUAAGAGAAACAGAGAAAUCUCUUAUGAUCAUCAUGGUGUUUAGGACUCCAGGAGAGACCUUUUGGGUUUCAAGAAGCAUCAUAUAAGAUACACAUUCAACAGAACUACUACUGAUAAUGCAAGUUUUAGAGAAAGCCGUCAAUUAAUCUGAUGAACUUUAUAUUUAGAGAGAGAGAGGAAUAAAAUACUAACUUAUCUCUCUCAUGCACAAGUGUAUCCAUGAGAGAUGGAAACUCCUUGCUCAUUUCUUGAAUCACCAAUGUCAGCAUAUCCACAUCGUUCAUAGCUUUCAGCUAAAAUCCAUACAAUUUAAUCAUUACUCAUUAUUUACACUGACUUGAAGCACAUAAACUUUAAAGAGAAAACGAAAAAGAAAAAAGUAAGCAAAAGACUUUGUACCAUCUUGUCAAGUUCCUCAGGGCUUGGUAGAAAGACAGCUUGAAACACUAAGCUGUACAGAAACUUUACUUUGUGCCAUAGAGGCAUUUUAGCCCAAGUUCUCUUUAACGUGAUCUGUUUCAAGUGAAAAACUGAUUGAAAACUGAAAUAACCAAUGCAUAACAUUCCUCAAGAGAAAGUUUUAAGACUAUAAACACAUAUUCUUGAAUCACCAAAAGCCACCUGUACUGGACGAUCACCUAGAAAAUCACCUUGCCACCAUAUUUGUCUGCUUCUUCAUAUGCCACACGAAACUCAGCACCAGGUAAAACUUCAAGCUUGCUGGCGAUCUAAACAUAACAUAAGAAAAGGAUGUAAGUUAACGGUACGAAAAUUUAAGCUAUCAUCAAAGAAGAUAUAAACGGAGAAAGCAUACCGUUGCAAGAAACCAUCCAUAGACUAUUCCGAAUGGAUUGUGUUUCUUCUUCCACAUGUCUAUCAUUUCCCACACGGUCGGAACCUGGAAAAAACCAAGAACAUCGCAACUUUCCAGAAUAAAGAACAUGGAUACUGCACAAGAAGAAGAGCUACAAGAUAUGUACAUCUGGUAGAUAACUACGUGUGAUAUAUCAUCGCAUAGAAAAACAUGUGAAGUUCAUUCUCUAGACAAAGUUUUCCAGUAAUUCCAGUAGAAAUUUUGGCUAAUCUUAAGAUGAUGCACAGUCUAGUCCAGGGUUAUCACAUUGUUAAACUAAAACCAGAGAAUUUUAUAGGCAUUAUGUAGAGCAAAAACCUUCACAGCCUGAGGAGUGAGAAUAGACAAUCGGCUUGGACACAACUCUACGAAGACGACCUGCAAUACAACAGCCACGUACUUAGAGAGUGAGAGAAAGAUAUAUAAAAUAGUUCACUGUAAAAGAGAAGAACCUCUGGUUUCAUGUAGCUGACUAUAGCUUCAACUUCUCGACAUGAUUCCUAUAAAACAAAACAAAAACGGCAACGAUCAAAACAACUACACAAUGCAUUAUGCAUAUGAACAUUGAUCUCAAUUUCAAGUCAUUAUAAACCAUAUUUUCACAAAUUCACAAUGUUCCUUGCAUAAAGCUCAAAUCUUUCAACAAAAAAUCACAAAUUCAGUCAGAAAGUUUCAAUUUUUAAAAGAAGAUACCUCUGAUACAUGAGCAGUACCAAUCAAAUACACAUCACAAGAUCCUCCCUCAGCUUUGGAAUCGCACGUUAGAACCAUAACGCUUUUCGCAUAUUCCUCAGGCAGCUCCAGUUUCGUCUUCGUCUCCACAGCAAAGUCACCACCAUCCUCUCCACUGUAGAUACCAUCGUCACCAGACUCAACGAUCGAACCGACGCCGGUUAUCACUGAACCGGAAUCGCUAUGUUCUUCUUCCUCCUCCUCGUUCUCCACAUUCACUAUGCUGUCGCUUAAUGAGGUUUCUCCGGGAGGCCUUUGGUCAUCGACGUGAACGAAUUCAUCUCCCAAUUGAGCCUCCGGCUCCAACGGUGUUACCGUCGGUUCCAUUCACGACGAGGAAGGAGUGGGGGAAAUCGGUUAAUUCGAAGACUUUAAGGGUCGGAAAAUGUAGUUUACGAGCUAAGACAAAAGGUAUAACAAUGUCAGUUUCUUUCUUUUUAAUAAUUUAAAUCUCAUUGAUUUUGUUACUGGUCUAUCAUUUUUUUUUUGACUGUAAUAAUUAUCUUUUGACAUAUUUUAUCGAUUAUUUAAAGAGAUAAUUACUAAAACAAUCUCAAACAAUUUUCUAGGAUUUGAAAGUUGGGGAAGUAUGGUGAAAAAACCUUUAAUUUUUAAAAAUUCAUUUUUAUUACAAAAUUGCCAUUAUUACAAAUUUUUUAAAAAAAAAAAGAAAAAGGAAUCACAACACAAUCUACCCGAUUUCUCAAACCCUAAAUAAACUUUCAUUUUCAUCCAAACUCUUUCUCUCUCUUUCCCCGGCGGCUCUCAGGCGAUUUCCGGCGGUGACCUCAGUUCUCUCCGGCGAGUCUUCCUCUUCCGGUGUUCUCUGCGCCGAACUCUUCGUUUCUCCCCUCCGGCGACGAGACGAGCCGAGACGACCCGAGUCUUCCUCUUCCUGUCUUCUUCUCCGGCGGCUCUGCAAAUUCCGUUAAUUUCCGGCACGACCCAAGCUCUCUCCGGUGAGGUCUUCUCUCCCCGUGUUCUCUCCGCCGAAGUAGAUUUUGUUUUUAGACCUAGGGUUUUGUUUCCAUAACGAUGAAAAAGUUUUUAGAUCUAGGAUUUUUGUUUCAAAAAUCGAAACCUUCUAAAAGUUUAUCAGGUUUUUUUCAGGUUUCUCCUCCUCCGGCGUCUCUCCUCGAGCUCUCUCCUCCUCCGCCGUGAUAUCCUCUCGAGCUCUCUCUUCCUCCGGCAACGGUGACGAUAGUCUCGAGCUUCUCUCGGUAAAUAGAUCUAGUGUUUUGUCUCGAAAUUCGAAACCUUCUCAAAAAUCGAAACCUUCUAAAAUUUGUUCAUGAUUUUUUUAGGUUUGACGAUUCCGGCGAUGAUUCCGGCGACGAAUCCGAGAACCACAUUUACAAAUCCGGCUUUGAGGUAUUUACUUUGUAUUUACUGUGUAUUAUCUUGGUGAUAGAUUUGUUUUAAUGUGGUGAUAGAUUUAUUUACUUGAGGUAUUUACGGUGAUAGAUUUGUUUUAAUGUGACGAUUUGAGGUAUUUACUUGGUGAUAGAUUUGUUUUAAUGUGAUGAUAGAUUUAUUUUUUUGUAUUGUCUUGAUUUUUUUAAAAAUUUGAUAGUUAUGAUACAUUUAUUUAUAGCUUGAUGGUAGAUUUAUUUCUAGGUUAAAGUAUUGAUUGUUUGAUGGUAGAUUUAAUUGUUACUUGAUGAUAGAUUUAUUUCUAGGUUAAAAAAAUUGAUAUAUUGCUUGAUGGUAGACUUUUGUAGAUUAGCGUUUUAUGUGAUGAUGAUUUAUGAGCUUUUUGUUUUAAACAUGUUGAUUUCUCAUUACUCACUUGACCUUUCUGUUACUCGUAGAUUCUGAGAUUGCAAUUAGUAGCUUAGAUUGAAUUGGUUUUCUUUUUCGUUUGUAACUUUGCCAUCAUGAAGCUUGUGAGUUUACUUAGCCUUUUCUAUUUAGUUCAUAUAUACAUGCUCAAUAAUGUUUUUAGCUGUUCUGCCUUUGUGAUUGUUUGUCUACUUAUCGUGAUGAUGAUGCUGAAUCACAUACGUCCCAUUGUCUUUAUUAUUGUGUAAUGAAUGUUUCUUUGUUUUGCAGGUUGCUCAAAAGAUAGGAGCGAAGGUAUGAAGCAAUGCAUAUUUGAGAAAUACCUCGGACAUGUUCAGGAUUUAGCUCUCUUUUUUUGUAUUGUGAGCAGUUUUGUACAUUCGGUUCUCUUUUGUAGUAUAAUGUAUGUGAUAUAUGUUGCCGCUUAUGUAAACAACCAGAAACGAAUGUACGUAUAAUAAAAAGAUCAAUAAAGCUUCAUGAUCAUUUUCAUGUUUUGACAUUUUCGGGUUUUAGAGAGAAUCCUUUGGAUAUCCCUCUUGCAGGAAUAGAAUUCUACAUGAAAUUGAUAACACCAAAACAAUUGUGGCGAAAGGAUGACUUCAGAUACAAUUGGUUAGGUGAUAUGGUAAGUUUACUCGUUAUGGUAGACUUAUGUUAAAAUUAUUAGGAUGUUGUGAUAGACUUUUAGAACUUUGUGGUAGAUUUAUUUUUACGUUAUGAUAGACUUUCGUAUAUUUAAUAUGAAGUUAUGAUAGAUUUAUAUAUUUUAUGACGUUAUGUUAUGGUAGACUUAUGAACUUAAUGGUUUGUUCUGCAACAUAUUGUGGCAGAUAUGAAUUUGUUCCGACAAAGAGCUUCCCAAGAUUCAAAUCUGUAUCGGACUGAAAUGAUUGCUUUCCUUGACCCAUUGUUCACUUCUCUUUGGUGCAUCUUUGGAGGAGAUUGAAGAAGUUAUUGAAGUUACGAAAAAACAGAUCUACAACAGUUUCUCUUCGUUGAGAUGGAGGAGAUCGAUGAAAACAGUUCAAUCAAGAGAAGAAAAUCAAGAGAAGAAUCCCAGAAAAGUUAGGAGAGAAUAAAGAAACGAAAAUCAAGAGAAAAAACCCAAGAAAAAUGAAAAGUACAUGUUUCUCUUCGUUGAUGGCGGCCAACCCUAGUUUCACCAAUGAAGAAUAUGAAGUUAAUGCAAGGGCAAAUUCGUCUUUUACCACUCAUAGGUCAAUAAGUCUACCAUUAUAUUCUAAUAAGUCUACGAUAGACUUAAUAAGUCUACCACCAUGGUCCCAAUAAAUCUAUCAGCCGUGGCAGAUCUGUAAAACUCCAAAAAUUGAAUAUGUCUAUCGUUAAAAGAAAUAAGUCUACCAAUGUCAAAUAAAUCUGUCAUAACUAUAAACAUAUCUAUCAUAACAUGCAUAGGUAAACAAGUUUAUCGGCAAAGAAAAUAAAUCUAUCACAGGUAAUUAAGUCUACCAUCAAAAUAUUAAAUAUAUCAUCACUACGUAAAGAAAUAAGUCUACCACCACUAAUAAUAAGUCUAUCACUCCAAUUAAAUCUACCAUAUAAGACAAAUAAGUCUAUCGUAGACUUAUUAAGUCUUUCGUAGACUUAUUAAGUCUUUCGUAGACUUAUUAAGUCUUUCGUAGACUUAUUAAGUCUUUCGUAGACUUAUUAAGUCUUUCGUAGACUUAUUAAGUCUUUCGUAGACUUAUUAAGUCUUUCGUAGACUUAUUAAGUCUAUCAUCAUAGCAAAUAAAUAUAUCGUUCCAAAAUAUGUCUACCAUAACAUCUAUUAAAAUAAGUCUAUGAUAGAUUUAUUAAAUCUAUCACCAAAGAGUGAUAGAUUUAUUUUAAUUCCCCCGUUUUUUUGCUGACGUGGCAAAAAUUCAUUAAUGGCAUUUUCGUUAUUACGUUUUUGUCAACACAUGCGAAAAGGAUAUAAUAGGUACAAAAGAUUACUUUAGUAAUUUCCAAAAAUUGGCAUCAUUUUAGUCAUUUUCCAACUUUUGAAGGUUAUUUUAGUAAUUCUCCCUUAUUUAAAAAAUGGAAUAUUUUCUUCAUUAUUAUUUUUUGUUUCUCAUUACUGUUUUAUUUGGUGUUUAAAGCAACAAAGUUUGAGUCAUACAAAAAGAAACAAUAAUGUCAUAUAUUCAUGAACUUGGUAUACAAAAUCAUGAACUUACUUAAACUCAACAUGUUAGUCAAUUUUGGAGAGGAGGUUUAUUUUAUUGACUACACCUAUUAUUUUAGUCAACCUAUUUUUCGAAUCUUACCUUACUGGAAAAAAAAAAAGGCAACAACAUUUUUUCUCCUGUCAGUAAAAGAUAAAUUAAUGUUAAUAUUCACAAGUUAAUUUACAUCUUGAGAGUAACGUCGAAAUGAAUGAGAAAUGAUAUUAGGCUCAUUGCAUCAUUCUCUCUGACAUGUGGGAUUCGAAUUUUCUACCAUUUUGACGAAAGUGAACAUCCAAACACAAUUUAGUUACUAGCCUUCAACUGUUAAACAUAAAUAAAUUUGGAUAGCAAAUGUAUACAUCAUCUUUGGAUUAUUGAAAUCAAUGAACCAAAAAACGCGAGCGCUACAAGAGAAAGAUUUAUCACAAAACACCUAUAAGUAACCUUGACUUGAGUUUUUUUUUUUUUUUUUUUCAGACGUAAUAUUGUAAUAAGCAUCCAGAAACAUAUAUUAUACUGAUUAUAUGACGUGUGGCCUGUAAGACAAAACAAAAAUGACUGAGCAGGAGCAUCCAACUGUAUGUAGAAGCUAGGCUUGUUGGAUACGAAUUGGAUAGACUGUGUCUGGAUGAUAGUUUGAUCCCAUGAGUCAAUCAAAGUUCUGUAAAACUCCUGCUGCACAUGAUGAUGCUUGUUUUGCUGGUUGACGUUCCGAAGAAAAUUAACCGUAGAACAACUUGUUAUCUUAGGAAUAAUUUUGAGGAUUAAAAAAAAAAAAAACAGAUGAAAGAAAUCUACCUGAAAUUGAGAUGGUACAUGUUCGAGAUGAGUAUCCAUGUUCAAUGGGUCCCUUGUUUAUGCAGCUUUUGAUAAUGAUGGUGAAAGGUUAAGAAAUUUGUGGAAUCUCUUUGUUAGUUUCCUUUCGAGAUCACAAGCUGGAACCCAAUCUCAACUACAAGGUUUUUGCGACAAGCCAUAAAACCAUGUAAGAGAGCCUAAACAGGUUAAACAAUGUGAGAACCGAGGCAAGGAAAUAUGUAUCAGAACAGGAAUGGUGAGGACCUGGAAGCUUACAAUACUAUCGGUUUGUUGGACUAGAUUUGCAUAGUGUGACGAAAGACCAGCUUUACCUAAUUGUUCUGUUCCUGGCUUCCCUCCAUUGUCUUUGGAACAUGAAAUGACAUCAACAAGAAAACAGAACCACAGUUGGAGGAUCAGUUUAAACCAGAGAAUAUACUCAAGAGUUUCCCAAACCACAACAUUCUCAGGAGCUUUGAUAAAACAUGGGCUUUCAAAUCUAAGCUCCAAAACAAACAAUCACUGGAAAGAUUCUCUUGGGGGCAAGAUAACAAACUAAACUAUAUUGCUUGGUGUUGAUAACAAACUAAACUCUUAAAUAAUUUAUUUAUGGAGUAAGAAAAACGCUUUUACAUUAAGAUCCUUGAAGAAGGACAUAAAACACAUUACAAAGAGGCAAUACUUUCAACGUGUUGGGGUGACAUAGAGACGCAACAUGCCUUUCCGAAUCCAUAACGGUGCCUAAACCCUUGAUCAUCUCCAAUUCCGUGGAUCCUAACUCUUCUGAUGCUUUUUCUUUCUACAUUGUAGUAGAAAAUGUAGAAGGGUUGGACUUUACAUGACAGCUCUUUUGGGGCAAAAAUGAUUUCACCAGCUUUGUUGGUGCCCGGGGAAGUCAUGUUCACCAAAGUUAAGGGGAGUUCAAAUGUUUGCUUGGACCAGUCAUGUGUCAUGACAUCCUCUAGAAUCCAUAAAUCAAAUCUAGAGAAGCUCCAAGUGCGUCUUCCAAAAGAAGCUAACUUACCUUUGUAUUCUAUGAAUAUUGAAUUGCUAUGGGAAACCACAACAUCCUUAGGAGCUUUGAUCAAACUCAGCCUCUCGGAUCUAACAUCAAAACACACAACCACAGGAUUCGAUCUCCAUCUUGGGGCCCAUGCACCAUAAUACAAACAACCAUUGAUGCAUAGUCCACUAGUUACAGGGUAAUAAAGCGGGGAGGUAACCUCAUUGCGUGAUAAUCUUCCUUCUCCUCCAAGCCUUAUAACCUCGUGCACUAAAUAACCACUAUCCAGCUGAUCGUCAAUUGCUGACACAAGGGUCAAUGCUUUGAACUGACCAUCAACAGGAUCGUAUCCCAAGGAUGUGUGGGGUCCUUUGCAGGGAAAGGUAAAUACUUGCCCUGUGCUAGGGUUGCAUAUAGUCAACCGAUGACGAGAGCAAUAACUGAGAAAGCCAUGGACGGAAGGACAGUUGGAGCCGAUAUCGAAGCGCACGGAAGGUAUUUUCAUGUCGAGGUUGGCAACCAAAGAAGAAGAUUCCUCUCCCUCGUGUGAAGACGAGGAGAUGAACCGAUAAGGCAUGCCAUCACCCUUGAUGAAUAAACCGUUACCGAAAGCAAUUGUAAACCGCGACCGCGUCGCAGAGGACAAAGCGUAGUAAGAAUCGACGAAUCUUUGGCUUCGGAUGAUGGAAGACCACAUCUUAGACACGCAUCGGAACUUCAUAAGAGACUUUACUGGUAAUCUAGACAGAAUCUCCGCCUCUACAUCAAGAGGGAUCAAAGGUAGCUUACAACUUUGACUUGUGCCUUUCUUCUCAUCGACCUCGCUAUCGUUGCCAUCUCGCUCCUUGCGUUUCUUUUGGUGUGGCUUUAUCCCAAAUCUCGCAGGAAAACUAAAUAUCUUUAGAUCAAGAGGGAUUGGAUCUAACUUUCUGCUGCCGCAGAACAUGUCCUUCUCAUCAUCGUCCUCGCGUUUCAUGGUGGCUCCCAAAAUUUUCCGACGGUGGAGAUCCAUAUUUACUCGCAGAGAGAUCCAAUAUUUCCUUUUUUUUUUGGUUGUUACCGCGGAAAAAAAAAGAUUUUCCUUCUUUUUGUUAUUGUUAUUGGGAAAAACAAAUAAUUUACUUUUCAGACCGAACACAACACAUCUUAGAGCAUUCACAAUGCAAAUACCGUUUUUGAUCUCUUCCCAAUUUUUUUAAUAUUAAAAGUAGGGAAGAAACGUCUCUAUCGGUACUCAUUAAAGAAACGUUUCCAACAAAUUUUUUCUUCUACUUAUAUUUUUUAAUUAAAAAAAUUGCUAAAGACCUAAGUAAAUACUCGCGUUACGGAUGCUCUAACCCAUAUGUCUGAAGAGGUUUCAAAUCUUUUACUGGUUUUUUAUUUUUAUUUUUAUUUUUAUUUUUUAUUUAUUUAAUAGAACGAUCUGUUGACAAAAAAAAAAAAAACAGAACUAUCUAAGGGGUGUAUUGGAUCCAUGAUUUUAAAAAGUUUAAUAGGAUUUGGAUUUAAAGAGAUUUGAGGGAGAUUUUGAAGAUAUGAAGAUUUGUUUUUGGACUUUUUAAAAUAAUCAUUGAGAAUUUUUAGUGUGAUUCUUUAUAACAAAAAAAGGAAAUUAUAUGUGAAAGUUUUAAAAAAUUGGGACUGUUGUUAAGACUUUUGUUAAUAUUUACGAAGAACAACUUCACAGUAAACACCUAUUGGUUUAUUCAAAGUCAUGAGUCAUUUUUCUUUGUAUAAUAAUAAAUUGUCUCUAGUAAAAAUUAAAAAGACUCGAAUUUAACGAAGCUUCCAUUGCUCAAUGUCUUUCGAAAUUGGUGACAGCUGAGCAGAAAUGAGUUUUGGGUAAUCCAGAUUGAGUUCAGAGGUAGCUUCCAAUGCUUUAAUGGAGAUUGCGAAAUAAGGUUCUGUAGCAAUUGAAUUUGCAUAUAAGGAGAAGAGGUUUUGAAGCGACAACAUUGGUAUGUAGUUAUUUCCCAGAGGGAAAAGCUCUCUUCCUCUCUCUCUGUGCGAAUGUAAUGGCGAUUUUGCCAAUUCUCUUCUCUCUCUUCAUGAGCGCACUGUUCCGACAGUUUCUCUCCGAUUUCUUUGGGUCAAGUUUGUCGGUUUCUUUCCGUUGAGGAUUCCCUCUGGCGGUUUUGUUGGUUAAUUGAUUUAAAACCGCCAUGGCCCUCCUUCACUAUAAAGCCGAACAGUUGCUUUUUCUUUUUCCAAUUUCAUUAGUUUUUCUGGAUUUUGAGAACGAUGAGUGAUAACCUUCGACGACGCAUGCAAGAGAUCGACUUGGGUGCAGCACCGAUUGCUCUUCCGGAAGCAGUGUGUGCCCAAGCGGCGCGAGUGAACUGGUUCUCCAUCGUUGAGGUUUUGGUCAAUCCAAAGAAGAAAAACAUGCGAGCGUUAAUUGGACAAAUGCCUCGACUAUGGGGUAUUGCUGAUCAAGUGGUGGGACGGAUGGUGGAUACUACGAAGUUCCAAUUCGUCUUUUCGUCUGAGGAAGCAAUACAUUUGGUUUUGCAUCAUGGUCCUUGGUCUUUUAAUGAGUGGAUGCUUGUGACUCACAUGUGGAGGCCAGAUAUAACUGAUGCUGAUCUCAAGAUCAUUCCGUUCUGGGUACAGAUACGUGGAAUCCCGCUGCAAUAUCUUACUACAAUGAUGUGAUUCAUCAGUGGUUCAAUUGGUCCAGUGGUGUCUGUCGACUUUGAUGAGAACGCUAAUCUCGCUGCCUUUGUUCGUGUCAAGAUCAAUUAGAGCAUUGAUAAUCCACUGCGUUUUCAACGCAAUUUCCAGUUUUCUCCAGGAGAGAACACUAUCCUUAAGUUUCAGUAUGAGAGGCUUCGCAAUUUUUGCAUCAAGUGUGGAAUGCUUGAUCAUGAUUCCAAGGAAUGCCCUAUGAACUUCGAUGAUGAUUUUAACGAUCCAGAUGCACAGCAGUCCCCAAAUGAAGAUCACACUAAUGGCGAUGAUGCACAUGAACGUGAUACUACUGCUUAUGAUUCUGCUGGUCUAAUUGCAGGUCCACCUUCCGUUCCUAUGAUGCCAGAGGGUCCCCUCAAUCAUGAUAGGGACAUGGCGACAGAGACAUGGCGUUACCUGCAAUCAAAGAUGGCAAAAUGCAAGUUCAAAGCAGGCGACUUCGGAAGAAUAUUUGCGGAAUUUGUAAACCAUGAAGCUGCACCACGUUUGUGCAUUGAAAAGCGUAGAGAGAUCGACACUAUUUUACAUCAUUAUGGUAACAAUGAUGAUUCUGACUCUGAGGAAUCAUGCCAAAUUCUGAAUGAAGAUAUCAAACCGGAUGUGUUUGGGCACAUUACUCCCCUGCCUUAAAUGGAGUUCUCGGAUAUGUCAUCUGAUUUCAAUGUUCCAGUCAAUACGGAUAAGAGGAGAUUUCAAGAAGAGGAUUUUCUGGAUGGUUUUGUUGAUUAUGCAGAAGCUAGUACAGAUUUGGCAACUAAAAAGCGUCGGCGUAUGGAAGUGCAAGAGAUGUUGGAUGAGCCUUUAAGGAGCAUUGACGAUCGGGUGGACCUGUAUCGGCCAAGAAGAAGGAGAAACGUGACACACAAGGAUCAAGUACUGAUCAACCACCAAUGGACGGAGGCGCGGGGGGCCCGGUACCCCCACAGUCAUCAUGAAGAUCAUAUCUUGGAACUGUCAGGGCCUUAUGUUGCCGCUGACAAAAGAAAGAUUGAAGGAGUUGUGUAAGAAAUUGUGUCCAGAUAUGUUGUUUUUAGUAGAAACCUUAAAUAAGUGUGAUGUUGUGCGUGAUGUGUGUGUUUCAUUAGGAUUUGAUUUCGUGUUUUCUGUACCUCUUCGUGGCAGAAGUGGAGGUAUAACAGUGUUAUGGAAGAAAGAUGUAGUUUUUACUAAGUUGUUUGAUUCUGUAAGGAUGAUUGAUGGUUAUGUUUGAAUACAAUGGCAUGGCAUUUUAUUUGUCUUGUGUUCAAGAAGAGGAUUAAAAGAUUUAAACAAACAAGACAAGGGCCUUGGCUACUAGUUGGGGAUUUCAAAUAUUGUCAAAUGAUGAAAAAGAUGGGGGUCUACAACGAGAUGAAAAGAGCUUUGAAGAUUUCCGGAAUUUAUAUAGUGUUUGUGACUUCUCAGAUUUGCGAUCUAUUGGUGAUAAGUUUUCCUGGGUUGGUCAACGAGGGAGGCAUGUUGUCAAGUGCUGUUUGGAUCGUGUCAUAGUUAAUUAAUGGUUGGCUAAGUUCCCUGCCUCUCAAGCACAGUUUCUUGGCUUAUAUGCGAACAGACGAUGCCCCGUCCUGUGAGCCAGUAAUCUCAGUGUGCAUUGAUAAUGAUCACCCGGAGCGCUGCGUGGAAAUCGGUGCUAACUUGGAAGAGCCCAUCAAGUCAGAGUUAAUCUCUUUCUUGAAGGAGAAUGUAAACACAUUCACCUGGGCUGCAGAUGAUAUGCCAGGGAUCGACAUCAGCAUCGCCUGUCAUGAGCUCAACGUUGACCCAACGUUCAAACCGGUGAAGCAAAAGAGACGCAAGCUGGGACCUAAACGGGCACAAGCAGUAAACGACGAAGUGGAUAGACUGUUGAAAGUCGGAUCCAUCACAGAGGUGAAGUACCCAGACUGGCUGGCUAAUCCGGUGGUGGGUCUGAUCAUCGUCCCGUCUUGACAAUUGUAGCUUUUGUACAUCAGAAAUUUAGGAAGCCUUUUCGUUUUGAUAAACGUUUGCUACAAGUUAAAGAGUUCAAGCAAUAUGUUUCCCGAGGUUGGAAUGCAUUUAAGUCUUCCCCACGAGCUUCGAUUAUGGACUGCAUUCGUGAAUGCAGGAAAUCAAUGUCUUUUUUACGACAAAAGGCAAAACUAAAUUCUGCAAAACAGAUAGAAGAACUUCAAUUGGAACUUGAAUUUGCUAUGUCUUCUCGUGAUAGUCAAGUUCGAGACACCAUUCCCCAAAUCCGUAAAGAACUAGUACAAGCUUAUCGAAAUGAGGAAACAUAUUAGCAACUGAAGAGUCGAAACAAUUGGCUAAAUCUGGGAGAUAGGAAUUCACAGUUUUUUCACGCUUGUACUAAAGCACGUUUUGCUCGUAACAGAAUUCACAUGAUCAAGGAUCAUAACGGUGUUGAGUAUCAGGGAGACCUGGCUAUUGGUAAACAUGCAGAGGAAUUUUUCACGCAAAUAUAUAGUAGCGACAAUAACCCUGUAAUCCCUGCAAUUUUCGAUGAAUUCAAACCCAUAGUGACGGCGGAAAUCAAUGAUCAUAUUACAAGAGAUUUCACACGUGAGGAAAUCCACGAAGCUGUAUGUCAAAUUGGAGCAGACAGAGCACCUGGACUAGAUGGUUUAACAGCAAGAUUCUAUCAAGAAUGUUGGGACAUAGUAGCAGAUGAUGUGAUCCAAGAGGUUGAGUCUUUUUUCAGAAAUGGCUAUUUCACUCCGGGAAUCAAUCACACAAAUAUUUAUAUGAUUCCUAAAACAAAAAACCCUGCAACACUCUCUGAAUAUCGUCCUAUUGCACUCUGAAAUGUACUGUACAAGAUAGUUUCAAAGCUUCUAGUCAACCGGUUGAAAUCAUCUCUUGAUCAAAUUGUAUCUGAUGAUUCUCAGUCUGCAUUUAUUCCAGGAAGACUGAUUACAGACAAUGUUAUGAUAGCACAUGAAUUGAUGCACUCUCUCAAGUCUCGAAAACGUGUAUCACAAACUUACUUAGCUGUCAAAACAGAUAUCAGUAAAGCAUAUAACCGUGUUAAAUGGAAAUUUUUGGAACAAACUAUGAGAGCGUUUGGCUUUUCAGAAGUAUGGAUCAAGUGGAUUAUGGCUUCAGUUUCCUCUGUUACUUACUCAGUCCUGAUUAAUGGGAAACCUCAAGGUUUGAUUACACCUCAAAGAGGAUUAUAACAAGGAGAUCCAUUGUCUCCUUAUCUGUAUAUUCUCUGUGCUGAUGUUAUGAGUCACCUGCUUGAUGUUAAUGUCCGCAAAAAGAAAAUACAGGGGAUUAAAGUGGGUAUUGGGGUUCCUUCUAUUACACACUUGUUGUUCGCAGAUGACUCGCUGUUAUGUUGUCGAGCUAAUCAGCAGAACUGUCGAGUACUGAGCGAGAUCUUUCGAACCGAUGAACUUUGCUCGGGUCAAAAGAUAAAUCAAGACAAAUCGGUCAUCACAUUUGGAUCACGCAUUCAGGGAGAUGUUCAAGACCGAUUGAAGAAUAUUCUCGGAAUAACUAAACACGGAGGCUGUGGAAAAUAUUUAGGAUUACCUGAACAGUUUAGACGUAACAAGAAGGAGCUUUUCAAAGACAUUACUAACCGAGUACAUCAUAGAACGUCCCAUUAGAGUGGUCGUUAUUUGUUGGCUGCAGGAAAAGAGGUUUUGAUAAAAUCUAUAGCCAUUGCAACCCCAGUAUACUCAAUGUCGUGCUUUAAAUUGCCAGCUGAAGUGAUUAAGGAUCUAGAACAGAUUUUAAUGCGCUUUUGGUAGGAGAAAGGAAAUCAAUCGAAAGGAAUCCCGUGGGUGGCAUGGAAGAGACUACACUACUUGAAAUCAGAAGGUGGUUUGGGAUUCCGUGAUCUAUCCCUCUUUAAUGAUGAAUUGCUUGCAAAGCAAGCUUGGAGGUUAAUUGAAAAACCAGAUUGUCUGUUCUCUAGACUGUAUAAGGCUCGUUAUUCCCGUGACGAUCAUCUUUUCCAAUCCAAAAAACUGACUAAUCAGUCAUAUGGAUGGUCUUCCAUCCUCUCUGGAAUUGAACUUUUGAAAAGUGGAACACGUGUUAUCAUUGGUGAUGGGAGGGACACAAGACUUUUCGAGGAUAAUUGGCUACCUACUCACCCCCCACGUCCGGCUCAUCCUACAGACAGUACUGCAUCACAUACAGUGGAUGAAUUAAUUAUUCAGAGUGGCUGUGUUCGUAGAUGGGAUGAUGAAGCUCUAGCUCGGCUUUUGACACAAGAGGAUGCCGUCCUUGCAAAGUCCCUGUACAUACGACAAACAAUAGGUCAUGACAAUAUGGUGUGGAAUUAUAGGAAGAAUGAUAUUUAUACCGUUUCAUCCGGGUACUGGUUUGCUCGACAUUCUCCUUCUAUUAAAUUAAAUGCUCCCCCAAUUCCUCAUGGUGAUCCCAAAUUGAAAAGUCAAAUUUGGAAACUGCCUAUAAUGCCUAAAUUAAAACAUUUUCUUUGGAGAGUAUUAUCUAAGGCCUUAGGAACUGCAACAAGGUUAAACACUCGCGGUAUUCAUUUUGAUGAUACGUGUCAGCGUUGUUGUUCGGCAAGUGAAUCCAUUAACCACUGCCUUUUUACCUGCCCCACUUCCGUGGCCAUUUGGAGGAUGUCGAAGUUACCGUUCUCCUUCCUUUUCAAUCCCUUUCAUGAUCCAGAAGAAAAUAUAAGGAAUAUUGUACAAUUGCAGGGGAUUUCGGAUAUUCCAAGAAAACAACGUCUUAUGCCAUUUUGGUUACUCUGGUGUAUUUGGAAAUCACGCAAUGCUUUAAUUUUCUAGAAACAGGUCAUAAGCCCAAAUAUCGUUGUGGAUUUAGCUUGGGCGGAUGUAACAGAAUGGAUGGAUUCAACUACUGCUGCAAAUAAUGUUCCUCAAUAUUCUCCAAUGCUUUCUCAUAUGGUUCCGCAAACUUGGACACGACCAGAAGAGGGAUGGGUAAAAUGCAACUACGAUACUGGUUUUGACAUAUCUUCAGGACGAGUUGUUGGCGGCGGCUGGAUCUUACGUGAUCAUUAUGGUACAGCUAAAGCUUGGGGCUCAGCACCAUUGGGGUUCUCUUCUACAGCUCUGGAGGCUGAAGGAAAGGCUUUAUUAUCUGCCAUUCACAACACUUGGAUUAAAGGUUUUCGGCAUGUUUACUUCGAAGGCGAUUCAAAACAUCUUAAUGACAUCCUAAAUGGCCAGAUUUUGCGUGACAUUUCUGUUUGUAAUCUGGUUGCUGAUAUUCAUGCAUGGGAAAGACGCUUUAACCGUUCCUGUUUAUGCUUUGUCAAACGCAAAGGAAAUGAAGCUGCUCACUUACUUGCAAAGAGGGGAACUUUGAUUUCUAAUUUCUUUUCGGGAUGUAUUUACCCACCGGUUUGGUUAGCCCAAACUUUGUAUUCAGACUUUGUACUUUCAAAUUAAUAAAAUUAUAAUUUCGUCGAAAAAAAAAAAUCUAAGACUUGAGAAUCAAAUUCUAAAAUGGUGUUGGAGAGAAGUCAAAAAUUCUCGAUGGUGCUCACUUAUUCUAGAAGGUGUUCUAAAAUAAGAAAAAUCAAAAAUACCCUUAAUUAAUCUUUUACCUUUUCAAUUUAUUUUUCAAUUUUAAAUAAUUAUUUUUUCUUUUCUCUUUCUUCUGACUUCGUCCAAAAUCUGGAGAUUUUUUCUUUCACCUAUUCCCUUUUCAAAAUCAAAAUCUCUUCUUGUUAAAAAAAAACAGAUUUCAUAAAUUGUUUCAUUGCUAAGGUUUAUUCUUAUUCCAUCUCCCUUUUUUUUCAUUUGAUAUGUUCUUCUUCUUCUCCAUUCUCUUCAACGUUUUCCUUUCUCUCUCUUUUUUUUUUUUAUUAAAUGUGAUUUCAGUUUGAGAUACAUUUUUGGUAUCAAAUUCUUUCAAAUCUUGAUUAUUUUUUUAUCGGGUUUUGGCAGCUUUAACCUGUUUUUGAAAUCUAAUAGUGUUCAAUAGCGUGUUACAUUAAUAAUCAACAGAUUGCAUAAAUUGAAUUCUGAAUUUGUAAUUGACAGAGAUGGUAGAAGUGGUACAACUUGCACAACUAGUAGAAUAUGUACCGUUGGUACAAAUAGUACAACUAGAUCGUUGAUACAACUUGUAUAACUAGAUAUUAUGAUACGACUAGAACAACUUAUACAAUUCGAACAACCAGUCCAAAUGGUACAACUAGAUAACUGGUACAACUAGAUCGUUGGUACAACUGGUAUAGCUUGUACAACUAGUUUUAGUGGUAUGACUAGUAUAAAUGGUACAAUUAAUUUUUGCUAAUGUUUUUUAUUCUUUUUCAUGAGACAAUUGAUAGUAUUUGUGGCAUGGUCAUACAUUUUGAUUAUAGGGAUAUUAUUCAGAAGAGGAAGAUGCAAUGGAUUCGGAAAGACCUUAAUAUUUAUUCUACUGUAAUGAAAGCAACUUUGGAGGAUGUCACUUAUUCUCGGCUGAUUGACUGAAUACGUAGGAAUAUUACAUGGAUAAUUCUUAUAUAGAUAACUAUGAUACGUAUGACAAUGUUGACAUUACACAUAUUGUACAAGCCGAUGAGGUUGUAAAUGUUGAAUGAGAAGAUGUAUUGAAUCAGACUGUAGAUUAAGAAUUUAGAACUAAGAAAGAAGUGAAAGAUAUAGUGGAGAAAAUUUAAGAGUUGCAUAGCCUAAGAAUUCAUGUUUUUCUCGGUUAGAGCAUACCAGAAAAAUGCAUUCAUGCUCUCUAUUAACUACAUCUACAGCUAAAAAUAAAUAAAAGACACACCACACUUGGUUGCAAGACUUCAACCUCAAAAGUUCUCGUAGACUUGAUUCAAAGAAUACUUUGUGUUUUGAUUUCAUCUGAUACGAUUUUGUACAACAGGUUCAACUAGCCCAUGAAACUAAUAUUCAUGAUUUUUGCUCUAAAUGUUACUGGAUGGAGCAGUGGGCUGUUUAUUCAGUAUCUCAUAAUUUAUUCAGUAUUAACUGGAUUGUUACAAAAAAAUGAUUUAAAACAAAAUUUGUAAACAUUUUUCUAUACAUAAUCGGCCAUAGAAAUGUGGGAACCGAAAUCCACCGCAACGUAAAAUAGGAAAGUUUGAUUUGCGAGGAACCGAGAAUCUUGGGGAGAAAACGAAAAGCUAAGUGAAAAGAGAUCGAAAAAGGAAACUAGGGCUAAAAGAGAACGAACUUUAAAAGAGAAGAAGAAAAUUGCGUAUUGUAUUGAUAUUGCGAAUGUUUCGAAUAAUCCGAAUCCUCUUACAAGAGAGGAUAUCGAUCCUUAUUUAUACUAAAACAUCCUAAGUCCUAAACCACCUAACUUUCGAUGUGGGAUUAAGGUCUUUUCCUUUUUCCGCCGACUUUUCCAUAAAUCUUCGAGUAAGCUCCAGAACCUUCCGUAAGUCGGUGUCUUCCUCCCAGCUCGGCCCAAAUAUGUCCUUCAUUCUUCGGUUUAGCGGUUUUCCUCGGUUUAGUUUAAGUUAUCGCGAUGUUUCGAGAAGUUUACGAAAACAUUGGUAUUUUCGCGGAAAGACUUGACGAAGAACGAAGUGAAAUCAUACGAAAUUGAAGAUGACAAGUAGCUCGGCAUUUCUUGAUGGCCAGCCAUGCCGAGCUACUUGCUUCCCAUCCAGCUGUGCGUUUAGCUCAGCAUUUAGUCGAGGAGGAAGUCCUCCGACUGUCCGCGGAACGCGUUUAGCUCAGCAUUUUGAGGUGCGGAGACCAUGGAACAUGCUUUACAAGUAGCUCGGCAUUUGAAAGUGAGCAAGUAGCUCGACAUUUUUGUUUGGGCAAAACGCCUAGCUACUUGUCAUGCCUAGCUACUUGUAAUUUGCUUCCCACGGCUGUUCGGUUCGGUACGCUUCAGCAUGAACGGGACAGACCUUACAAGUAGCUCGGCAUUUUUGGUUGGACAAAAUGCCUAGCUACUUGUCAUGCCUAGCUACUUGUAAUCCGUCCAUCUUCCGCUGUCCGGUUCGGUACGUUUCAGCACGAACAGGACAGUCUUUACAAGUAGCUCGGCAUUUCAAGCUGUGCAAGUAGCUCGGCAUUUUUGGUUGGACAAAAUGCCUAGCUACUUGUCAUGCCUAGCUACUUGUAAUUUGUUCAAAGAAUCGCGAUUCCUCCGAUUUUUCGGUUUAUCGGAAAAAUCGCUCAAAGAGUCGAAACUAUUAGCUCGGCACGAAAGUAGACAACAUGUAGCUCGGCAUGAAUGGUGAUGGAAAAUGCCGAGCUACUUGUCUCCUUGUGCCGAGCUACUUGUAUUUUUCCCGGAAAAUUGCAACUUUCGUCGGUUAAUCGGAAGAAUCUCCCGAAAGACGAAAUGGUCGGCUUAGCAUAAAGGGAAUGUGCAUGUAGCUCGGCAUUUUUGGGCAAGCCAGAUGCCGAGCUACUUGUCUUCGCUUUGGCCCUGCUAAUAGUCUUUCGUUCAAUAAAUCGCGACUUUUUCGGUUUAUCGGAAAAAGCCCUCCAGGAGGCGGAACGAGUAGCUCGGCAUGGAAGGAGAGCAAGUAGCUCGGCAUAUUGUGGUGACAGUGCAUGCCGAGCUACUUGUUCGUGCUCUCUCCUUCCUUGCCUCGCCAGUUGGUUCCUGCUCGAAGAAUCGCGACUUUUAUCGGUUUGUCGAUAAAACCUUCCGAAAAACAGUUUUAACGAUAAAAACAAUUCAAGAGAAUUAUUUUUCCGAAUUUCUUAUUCAAAUAUGGAAACUUUUUCCGAUAUUCAAAUAUUUUAGUCGUUAAUUCCGGAAAUGUGGGUUUUGACCCCAACAUUUAGCCCCCCAGCCCGUCAAUAUCGGGUAUGAUCUUGACGGGGUGACUAAGGAGUGUAUAAUGGGAUUAAGGAGCUAAAAUGCUUUGACCCCAACCUUUCGGGAACUUUCGACUCCAUGACUUUGAACUUUGGAUGAUGUAGCGAGUUUUGCCGAACUGUCUUAGGAAUGUGAUUGAUAGCGUCACGGGCUGCACAUUGGAUGUGGUGGAAGGGAUGACCAGGCUGUCUGUUGGAAGCUUCUCGAUUUUUGCUUGUGCUUGAGGACUGUCGGAGCUUAGGUGCUUCGUAUGUGGAGUGUGGAUCGACAUGGUGAUACGUUUUGAUUGUUGCCUCGUUAAAAACCUUUUACUAAGAAAAACCCGAUGGGAAAAAACGUAGUAAAGGAAAAGAGUGCAACGCGUAUCGAAUUUUCGGACUGUUACCUUGGAAAGGAGAUUAAGUUCGUAAAGUUUUCCCGAAAAACUGUUCAUGAUAAAUUUUUCGAAAGUUUUUCCCGAGAAAACUGUUAAGUUAAGUCUUUCAAAGGUUUUUUCCAAAAAAUUGUUUAAGUUAAAUUUUUCCGAAAAUUUUCGAAGGGAGUGGCACCUAAUGCCGAGCUACUUGUAGCAUACCAUGAUGCCGAGCUACUUGUAGGUGGGCUUGGUGCCGAGCUACUUGUAUAGCUCUUCCGAAAAACUGUUCAAGUUAAGUUUUUCGAAGGUUUUUCCGAAAAACUGUUUCAGUCAAGUUUUUCCGAAAAUUUUUGAAGGGAGUGGCACCUAAUGCCGAGCUACUUGUAGCAUGGCAUGAUGCCGAGCUACUUGUAUGCUGGCUGGUGCCGAGCUACUUGUUUAGCUCUUCCGAAAAACUGUUCAAGUUAAGUUUUUCGAAGGUUUUUCCGAAACACUGUUUAAGUCAAAUUUUUCCGAAAAUUUUCGAAGAGAGUUGCACCAAAUGCCGAGCUACUUGUAGCAUGGCAUGAUGCUGAGCUACUUGUAGGUGGGCUUGGUGCCGAGCUACUUGUAGGUGGGCUUGGUGCCGAGCUACUUGUAGGUGGGCUUGGUGCCGAGCUACUUGUAUAGCUCUUCCGAAAAAUUGUUCAAGUUAAGUUUUUCGAAGGUUUUUCCGAAAAACUGUUUAAGUUAAGUUUUUCCGAAAAUUUUUGAAGGGAGUGGCACCUAAUGCCGAGCUACUUGUAGCAUGACAUGAUGCCGAGCUACUUGUAUGCUGGCUGAUGCCGAGCUACUUGUUUAGCUCUUCCGAAAAACUGUUCAAGUUAAGUUUUUCGAAGGUUUUUCCGAAAAACUGUUUAAGUUAAGUUUUUCCGAAAAUUUUUGAAGGGAGUGGCACCUAAUUCCGAGCUACUUGUAGCAUGGCAUGAUGCCGAGCUACUUGUAUGCUGGCUGACGCCGAGCUACUUGUUUAGCUCUUCCGAAAAACUGUUCAAGUUAAGUUUUUCGAAGGUUUUUCCGAAAAACUGUUUAAGUCAAGUUUUUCCGAAAAUUUUCGAAGAGAGUUGCACCUAAUGCCGAGCUACUUGUAGCAUGGCAUGAUGCCGACCUACUUGUAGGUGGGCUUGGUGCCGAGCUACUUGUAUAGCUCUUCCGAAAAACUGUUCAAGUUAAAUUUUUCGAAGGUUUUUCCGAAAAACUGUUUAAGUUAAGUUUUUCCAAAAAUUUUUGAAGGGAGUGGCACCUAAUGCCGAGCUACUUGUAGCAUGGCAUGAUGCCGAGCUACUUGUAGCAUGGCAUGAUGCCGAGCUACUUGUAUGCUGGCUGGUGCCGAGCUACUUGUUUAGCUCUUCCGAAAAACUGUUCAAGUUAAGUUUUUCGAAGGUUUUUCCGAAAAACUGUUUAAGUCAAGUUUUUCCGAAAAUUUUCGAAGAGAGUUGCACCUAAUGCCGAGCUACUUGUAGCAUGGCAUGAUGCCGACCUACUUGUAGGUGGGCUUGGUGCCAAGCUACUUGUAUAGCUCUUCCGAAAAACUGUUCAAGUUAAGUUUUUCGAAGGUUUUUCCGAAAAACUGUUUAAGUUAAGUUUUUCCGAAAAUUUUUAUACGAGACCAAGAGAAAGAAAUCACGCCGAGCUACUUGUAGCGUGGCUCAAUGCCGAGCUACUUGUAGCGCAACGUGGUGUUGAGUUGUCCGCGCGGAUUUUUACCGAAAAACCGUUUGAGUUUAAGUUCUUCGAAGAUUUUCCGCGGAACUUAAGAGGGAGUUGCGAAUGCCGAGCUGCUUGCGUAAAGCUGGGCUAUUCGUACUUCGUCAAGUGUUUCGACUUUUUAUCGGGAUGAACAGUAAUUUUUACUGUUCAUGUACUGUUCAUGUACUGUUCACGGGACCCACUUUCGGUUUCUAUAAAGAAGAGCUUUCACUCUUACCUCAUUCCCACAAGUCUUUCAAUUCCUAAGGUAAGAAACUCUCUCCCUUCUCUCUUCUUUCUCUCUCUAGAUUAAACUUAAAGAACACCAAGAACACGAAGAACGCGAAGAAUGUUUUAAGAUUCAGAUAAAGAAUGACCUUUGAUCCAUGCUCGGAAGGAUAUAGCGUUCCUUGGGAUGAGAUGGGCUCCGUGCUCCUUGAGGGUAGGUCAUCCGACGAUGGUGAGAGUUCGUUUGGUUUCGGGUAUACGAACUCCGUUCCAACAUGGAAUGCCUCCGGCGUCCGAGUUAAGCUUGAAGAGCAUGAUGGAUCAUACGUGAUCCCGCAUGUUGCUGAAGAGUUUGUCCUGAGGAGUUGUGUCAAGAAGGAAGCUGAGCGUUUGCUUGAGAAGAACAUCCAAGACGAUGAUCCUCCAAGGCGAUUUCGCGAAGGAAAAUGCAGGAAAGACAUAGAGUCUUCGGGGAAAAGUUUGUGUGGUGAAGCAAGUAUGAAGAGGCUCUGAUCUUUGUUUUGUUUUCCCGAAGGGGUUGAACUCGUGGUUCCUGGUCCGGAGGAUCGUUAUCAUAACCCUCCUCCCGGUUGUUUUACUGUGUUCGAGACGUAUUUCGAUUCCUGUUUCCUGACCUUUCCGAUCCCCUCACUCAUACUGCAAUUCCUUGCGAUGUAUGGUUUGGCGAUGGGUCAGGUAGCCCCUAGAGGUUUAAGGACUUUGGUGGGAACUAUCACCUUGUGCUUAGAACGCGGUAUAGAGAUCGGGACUUGGCACCUCAUGACGCUCUUCGAGGUGAAAGCGUGCAAAGUUCCCUUGUCAUACUAUGUUUCGCCUAAACAAGGCAAGACGCUUUUCGUGGAGCAUCCUAGUAAAGAAGAACCUUGGAAAGACUACUUCUUUUUCGUUAAGGUCAAUCCGUUCUCGGUUGAUCCUUGGUUCAUAAGCGAGAUGGUGACUGGAUGGUCGAAAAUUGGUAGCUAACUCUUGGUUGGCUGGGGUGUCGAUAUGAUUUGCUUGUAAUAAACUUGCGGAAGUUCUGAUUAAGUUGUCGUGUUCUUGUUUUGCAGGUCGUCCUGCUGUUGACGCCAUUCCUGCGAAUCUCUACAAGGUCUGGAUUGCGCUGAUUGCUAAGGGAGAGAUCCAUUGGGAUUCUUUUUCGUUUAAGAGAGCCUUUAAAGCUAGGUCCCGAGAGAAAGAACUUUGCCUUUUCGACUAUUCGACUGAUCCUCCGAAAAGGAUGAGCAAAGAAAGAUCAAUCGUUGGCCAGAUGCGAGAGCAAGAAAAGGCCUUCAUCGAGGCGGGCAACGUUGCGCCUCAAUGUGAAGAAGUUGAAGAGGGAGAGAUCCCCACUGCUGUUGAUGAGUGUCCAUCGACUUUGGACAAGGGCAAAGGGAUCGCCCUGAAUGAUGAGAAAUCUCCAGUCAAGAAGAAGAAGAAGAGAAGGAGCAAGGCCCCAGAGUUCGAGUUCGUGGCGCCUGAUUCUGUCAAGGAUGGCAAUGUUGCUGCUCCAGGCGAGCUACUUGGUGCUUUCCGUCCUCGAGGAGCUUCGACUGCUCCCGUUGGCGAGUUUCGGAAGAAGAAAGUUUUCGAGAAGGUUGCGCGCCAAGGUUUCGAGGUAAGCUCAAGUCAUAAUGCUGUAAUCUUUUGAUUCGUUUCAAGUUUCUGACUUUGCCUUGAUACCUUUUGUAGUUCCUUGCCCAGCUGACUGGUAUGGCCAGCGGAUACGAGGCUGAUUCUGCGCAAUGGGAAAGUCGGAUUGCGGAAUCAAAAAAGAUCGCUGAUGAGAGCGCAGCUGAGGCAGCUCGAUUGAAGGAGGAGUUUGAGAAGGCAAAGGUUGCCCAUGCUGAGGAGCUGGACCGUGUGAAGGCCGAGCUCCUUAAAGAGAAGAAAGAAUGGGCGAGGAGGCUACUCAAAGCCUCCCAGCAAGAGAAGACGCUCUUGGUGAAGAAGUAUCGCCAAAGAGGUGAUAGUGCGAGAGCUUUGGUUAGCCAGAUUGAGGAAGCUCAUGAGGAAUUGAUCCUGUCUGAGGUUGUGAAGGCUAACUUGGAUCUGUAUGACUUGAUGCAAUCUGGGGAUCAGCCCGAGAUCGCAAGUUACAAGGAGCUUUUGGAUGAUGGCAAGGUAAGGUAUGCUGACACGAGGGUCAACUUCCAGCGUAUGAUGGAAACGCUCAAGGACUAUCUGGUUGCUUCUCCACAAGCUCAGACGUUCAGCCCAGUUUUCGGAGCGGAUUCGAUGAGGAAAGCUGCCAGUGAAGUCGGCAUUUCGAACAUGUCGGGAUCGAUGGAGGGAGAUCCAGGGCUUGAGGAGUUUAUCUCCAGCCUAGCUGCCGAGGAUCGCGACUGAGGCGAUUUCUCACCUUGUAAUUUGUUGGCUCUUGUCCGGCCGUUUCAGUUUCUAAGACUUUGAUAUGUAUGCCCUUUGUGUGGGCCUUUAUUUAGUCGGGUUUGUUCCUGACAGUUGUAUUGACUCUUUUAUGUUUCUAUGCAUCUUCAGAAUUUUUAGCUGCUGGUUCGUAUGCAUAUGUUAGACCAAUGUUUGCUUGUUUGAAGUAUGGAUAGGAUUUCGUUGGUUUGCUGUAGGAGAGUAGAGUAGUUCGAAGUUUCAUACUUACUCUUGAUUCCUAAGCGCUGUUUAUGAUUGUGAUGAAUUUAGCGUUGGUAUUUCGUCAGCAGAGUCUUGUCAUGCUUUUGUAUGACGAAAAUAUGUUUGCGUAUUGAUACGUUGAUGAUGUUAUGCCAGUGCUGCUCGGAAGCGUCUUGGCUGGGCUUACGAUAGGUUAGUGUUUAUGGAAACUAAGCUAUGCGUGUGUCUGGUUUUAGGAAAUGCGGGGAUUCCGUCUUACCUCUCCGUUUUUCGACGUUUGAAACACUUUACAAUCUCGUCUAGUGGUAUUCUAGAUUGUGUUUCCGAGAUGUUGAAGACCAGUGUGCCUUGCUGACGGCGCUUACCGGGUUGAUGGAUUUGCAGUGAGGGUUAGGGCAGUGCGAGUCUUUACUAGCUGGCAUGCCUGUCUCAAAGUCAAACCUAAGAACAUCGUCCAGGAUAUACCUCUCGGAUGUUAAGUUAGGAUAUACCUAACCCCAUUUAUAUAGCGCGCUGUUAAUAUGCCCGUGCACAGGCGUCACUGAACCUUUGCCCAUACAGAGCAUCAGUUGAAUCCUUAAAAGGACAAUAAAUCGUGCUUGUUGUGGCCAGCAACAAGCGAGUUUUGGAGUAGAUGUUGGAUAUCGGAAACCUUGUAGACGUGUUUAAGGGAAACGUCAAGUUUGAUAUGCCUUAGUUAUCGAGAACUGAUCCAAAAGUUUUCCUUAGGCGAUCGUUCUGGAAACUGUGAAUUCGGAAAUCCUUUAUUGCUUGGAAUUCGGAAAUUUAAUCUGAAACUUAGAAUUUUUCUGAAAAACUCGGAACCUAUCUAGACCUUACAGUCUUUUAAGUUCGGAAUUAUCGUAAAAACUCGAAGCUUACCCUAAAUUCGGAACCCUUUGCAUUUAGAAUUCAGAAUUUACUGAUUCUUUAAGAUCAAAAAGUCAAAGUUUUCGUUUUUUCGGAUUCUCGAAACUGUCAAUGAUGGUGUGAAUAGCGAUGAGUAUGCGAGUGGUGAUGAGUUGCAUACACUCCCACUCCCCCCUUUUUUGUUUUGGGGGGACAGCUGCACCGAAAGAUCGGUUGCCUACGUACCUCUUUCGAGGAUCAAGCCGUCUCGUAGUUCAGUUUGUUUCGGAAACGUUUUUUUUUUUUUUUUUUUUUUAUUAUUAUUUUUUUUUGCGGAACUACUUUCGGGUUGUUCGAUGUUUAAACCCGAAGUGGUGGCGCAAAUUUUUGUUUUGAAGAUAGGAUGGAGACUAAGUCUCCAUGUCCUGAGCUUGAGAUUGCUCAGGUGCGUCCUUGGAUGGCUUAGGAUGGGUUUGGGAAGUUCUAGCUUCCUGAAUUGGUUGUGUGGUUGCGGGAACUUCCUUUGGAGUCUCUUUCUCGGAAAUUUCUUUCGGAGCUUCUUUUGCGAGACUUGGUUUUGUUUUCUUUCGUUUGGUCGGAGAUUCCUCCGAAAUGUGGAGUUUCCGGAAUUUGUGUUCAGCUAUGAAACAAACUCGGGAUUCCUUCUGAUUUCCCCAAACGGUUUUUAUGCCUGAUUUCGUUGGAAAUUUCAGGCAUAAAUGGUAUGUGGAGGGGAUAGCGCGCAUGGAGUUUAUCCAGGGUAUCCCCAUGAUAACGUUGUAGAUAGCUGGAUGGUCAGCUACAACAAAGUUCACGACCUUGGUCACUCCUCCUGCCUGGACAGGGAGUCGGAUGUUCCCUAAGGUCAUGGUAGUUUCACUCGUGAAACCUGUCAAAGGUUUUGGUAUGGGUUCGAUUUCGGAGAAGUCAAUGUCCAUUCUUUGGAGGAUAACAUCGACUGAACUCCCUGUGUCAAUCAGGACUCUUGCGACAUUGACAUCGCUUAUUACCAGCUGAACCACGAGUGGAUCAUUGUGAGGAUGCUGGAUUUCGGCCGCGUCUUCCUCCUCGAAGGUGAUUUGGAAGUCAUCGCAGGGCGCAGGUUGCGGCCAGCUUUUCGCAGUUUCUGCCUGCCUUUGAUAGUCUUUGAGGGCAGAAAUAGUGUCUGGGCAGUACUGAGAUCCGCCCAUAAUCAUGAAGACCUUCCUGCGGCUGUUCGCCCCAGUAGGUUCCUCAUUUCUUCUUCCGCGCUUCGGAGCUUCCGGGGGAGGUCCUUCUGGAGUCUGCCCGGGUUGCUCGUCCGUGCUUUCUUCUUGCUGAUCGGGUUCCUCGCGUGUUUCCAUCACCAGGAACUUUGAUAUGUCUCCGAGCUCCCCAGCUAGGAGCCUCUCUGUUAGUCUGGAUCCGAGAGUGCGCCAAUUCAAGGUNNNNNNNNNNNNNNNNNNNNNNNNNNNNNNNNNNNNNNNNNNNNNNNNNNNNNNNNNNNNNNNNNNNNNNNNNNNNNNCGACCAGCCCCCCAUUGUGGCUUGGGCGGUCCUCCAGGGGACGGCCCUGUUUCCACUUGAUAGUUGUGAGCUCCGCCCUUUGUUUCGAAGUUCACGUAUGAGCUCCCCUUCCUGCCCGAAGAAGUGCUAGGAGCUGAUGGUGUGCUCUUACUUGGAGGUUUCGUCCGGUGCUUCCGUUCGCUUGCUCGGAUGUCCUCCUCAAGCUUGAUGAAUCCAGAAGCUCGAUGGAGAGCAUCUUGGAUUGUCGGUGGUGGGUUGAGCGUCAUCUCCUCGCGGAAACAAGACUCGUACCACAAUGACCUCUUUAGGGCCUCAAGUGCGGAUCUGUCGCUCACUCCGUCGAUUUUUGAGACUACAGCCUUGAACCGAUCUAUGAAUUUCUUCAAAGAUUCGGUCUGGCCUUGAGUGAUCGACCAGAGAUCAGCGUCUGAGGUCUCUUGGGUGAUGUACAUGGAGUAUUGUUUGAGGAAAGCCUUGGACAACUGUGAGAAGUUGUCGAUGGAAUCCCUUUCGAGUUUUGAGAACCACUCGAGGGCGUCAUCCUUGAGGUUCUCGACGAACAGGAGGCAGUAACCUGCGUCCUCUUCUUCUUUUCUGAACCUCGCGCGUCCCAUGGCGAUCCUAAACGAUGUUAGGUGCGCCUUAGGAUCAGUGGUUCCAUUGUAAGGUUUGAUCUUAACCUUUCCGGGAUCCGAAAGCCUAGUUUGGGUGACUCGGUCCGUGAAAGGAGUUUUCUGAGCCUCUUCGAGGACACGCUCGAUUUCUGGGGCAUCGCUGGUCACUCGAUGGACUUGAGACUUCAUUCUCUUCAUCUCAUCGGCUGUUUGGUUCAGCUUUCUACGCAACUCAUCGAAUUGGCUUUCGCCAAUUGCCCGCUGGAAAUCGCCAUCGUGUGCUCGAUGAGCCUCCUCACGUUCUCGCAAGAUUGCGAGUUCUUCUUCGGUAAGAUCCUCUUCACGGUCUGAGAGAUCAACCACAUCGUCGGAUCGAGAGUUGUUGUUCUGACCCUCGGAAUUAGGGUUUCCCUCAGCGCGUGUUUCAGUGUCUACCGUGCUUGUUGUUGGUGCGUCCAAAAGGGGCCGCAACAAUGGUGGAGCAGUAGGGUUGAUCCUGCGAGAGGAUGGAGUUCGGAAAGAACUUCCCCGCGGAUCACGCCUCAAAGUUCCUGAGCCAACAGGAGUAGCGAAAUCGAGACGCUUUCUCAAAAGAGAAGCUCUGGAUUCCUUUUCCUUACGGAGAUUCUCGACUUGUUGGGUCAAGGUCUCGGUAAGUUUCUCUUGCUCUUGGUUUCUUUUCUCAAGAGCCAAGACAGAGGAUCGGAGCUCAGCUAUGGUAGCGUCGGCCGCUUUUCCUCCAUCUGGAUGCAGAGUUAGGGGUUCGUCUCCGGACAUGGGUUCUAGGGUUUUUCGACCUAGGGUUUUCGCUUUCAAGAGUAAAGAUUUCUCGAGCCCCCUCCUUCUAGCGCCAAAUUGUGGGAACCGAAAUCCACCGCAACGUAAAAUAGGAAAGUUUGAUUUGCGAGGAACCGAGAAUCUUGGGGAGAAAACGAAAAGCUAAGUGAAAAGAGAUCGAAAAAGGAAACUAGGGCUAAAAGAGAACGAACUUUAAAAGAGAAGAAGGAAAUUGCGUAUUGUAUUGAUAUUGGGAAUGUUUCGAAUAAUCCGAAUCCUCUUACAAGAGAGGAUAUCGAUCCUUAUUUAUACUAAAACAUCCUAAGUCCUAAACCACCUAACUUUCGAUGUGGGACUAAGGUCUUUUCCUUUUUCCGCCGACUUUUCCAUAAAUCUUCGAGUAAGCUCCAGAACCUUCCGUAAGUCGGUGUCUUCCUCCCAGCUCGGCCCAAAUAUGUCCUUCAUUCUUCGGUUUAGCGGUUUUCCUCAGUUUAGUUUAAGUUAUCGCGAUGUUUCGAGAAGUUUACGAAAACAUCGGUAUUUUCGCGGAAAGACUUGACGAAGAACGAAGUGAAAUCAUACGAAAUUGAAGAUGACAAGUAGCUCGGCAUUUCUUGAUGGCCAGCCAUGCCGAGCUACUUGCUUCCCAUCCAGCUGUGCGUUUAGCUCAGCAUUUAGUCGAGGAGGAAGUCCUCCGACUGUCCGCGGAACGCGUUUAGCUCAGCAUUUUGAGGUGCGGAGACCAUGGAACAUGCUUUACAAGUAGCUCCGCAUUUGAAAGUGAGCAAGUAGCUCGGCAUUUUUGUUUGGGCAAAAUGCCUAGCUACUUGUCAUGCCUAGCUACUUGUAAUUUGCUUCCCACGGCUGUUCGGUUCGGUACGCUUCAGCAUGAACGGGACAGACCUUACAAGUAGCUCGGCAUCUUUGAUUGAGCAAGUAGCUCGGCAUUUUUGGUUGGACAAAAUGCCUAGCUACUUGUCAUGCCUAGCUACUUGUAAUCCGUCCAUCUUCCGCUGUCCGGUUCGGUACGUUUCAGCACGAACAGGACAGUCUUUACAAGUAGCUCGGCAUUUCAAGCUGUGCAAGUAGCUCGGCAUUUUUGGUUGGACAAAAUGCCUAGCUACUUGUCAUGCCUAGCUACUUGUAAUUUGUUCAAAGAAUCGCGAUUCUUCCGAUUUUUCGGUUUAUCGGAAAAAUCGCUCAAAGAGUCGAAACGAUUAGCUCGGCACGUAAGUAGACAACAUGUAGCUCGGCAUGAAUGGUGAUGGAAAAUGCCGAGCUACUUGUCUCCUUGUGCCGAGCUACUUGUAUUUUUCCCGGAAAAUUGCAACUUUCGUCGGUUAAUCGGAAGAAUCUCCCGAAAGACGAAAUGGUCGGCUUAGCACAAAGGGAAUGUGCAUGUAGCUCGGCAUUUUUGGGCAAGCCAGAUGCCGAGCUACUUGUCUUCGCUUUGGCCCUGCUAAUCGUCUUUCGUUCAAUAAAUCGCGACUUUUUCGGUUUAUCGAAAAAAUCCCUUCCAGGAGGCGGAACGAGUAGCUCGGCAUGGAAGGAGAGCAAGUAGCUCGGCAUUUUGUGGUGACAGUGCAUGCCGAGCUACUUGUUUGUGCUCUCUCCUUCCUUGCCUCGCCAGUUGGUUCCUGCUCGAAGAAUCGCGACUUUUAUCGGUUUGUCGAUAAAACCUUUCGAAAAACAGUUUUAACGAUAAAAACAAUUCAAGAGAAUUAUUUUUCCGAAUUUCUUAUUCAAAUAUGGAAACUUUUUCCGAUAUUCAAAUAUUUUAGUCGUUAAUUCCGGAAAUGUGGGUUUUGACCCCAACAAGAAACACCUUACUUUUAGCUUCUUGCGGAUGUUAUUUGUGUUGUUGUACCUUUGUAAGACUUAUUUGUGUUUGUAAGAGAUAUUUUUUGGUACAACAGGUUCAAAUAAGUAGUUCAUGUGUGUCAGGAAACAAAUAGUUCUAGUUGUCCUACUAUUACCAUUGAAGUAGUACGAGUGGUCUUAAUAUUACCAAUAAAGUAGUCCAAGCAGUCCUAAUAUUACCACACAAGUAGUACUAGUUGUCUUAAUAUUACCAAUCCAGUACUUCUAGUUGUCCUACUAUUUGAUAUGAUCAUGGAUGAGGAGCUUAAACCAGUGCUUGAACCGGAUGAAGAAGAGCUUGUAGCUGAGGAUUCUCAAGGAGCUAAGGACGUGCUUGAAGUGCCAAAAUGACCUAUGACUCGAUCCAGAGCCAAGCUAUUCAGCCAAGCCAUUGGAGCAUUGUUAAGACGCUUGAGUAGGAGUGACGAAGAACCGAUCAAAACCACCUUGGUCGUGUUGCAAGCUCAAGUGCAUCAAUGAAUGGACAAGUGCUGCUUCAAGUACUCUUUUUCCCUUGCUUUGGUUUUGUCCCACUGGGUUUUCCAAAGAAAGUUUUUAAUGAGGCUUGGGCAUCACUUCACAUCAUCCAUUCAUUUAUCAAAGGCCGUAUUCAGGAAGACCUUCAUGAUUCGGGAAGCUUUACUCAUCUUUAGGAAGGCCUACCUAAGUCCGUACUUAGACACCUUUUUAAUAAGUCAAACGUGUACUUUUAAAUUUGAAUUUAGUCUUUGUGUGUUUAAUGUGGUCAAGUCUUGGAGCCUGUUCCAAGACUUGUUCGAUUUCCCACAUUUCUUCUUUCUUUCUCUUUAUAUUCUCUUGUAACUUCAUUUGAGAAAUCAAUCUAUCUUUUUUUAAUCAAAAUCUCUUUUAAAGUAUAGAUUCAAUCUUGUUGGUGUGUCAUAUCCAGCAAAACCCUUAGUUUCUCUUUGGUGUGUCAUAUCCAAUCUGAGACUAAGCCACGGUUUCAAGGACUAUUCCGCAAGUUCUUGGUUCAAACCAUUCGAUCAGCACUUGUUUCCAUCAUCACGGCUUCACAGCCAAAGUUAUCAUCAACGACUCAACCUCACAGAGUGACGAUCUCAGGGAGGAUCUUAUUACUAUUACCAUCACAACAGUACUAAUCGUCCUAAUAUUAUCCAUUGACUGUAUUGUUACAAAAAAUAAUGUAAAAUUACAUUUGUAAACAUUAUUCCACACCAAAUAGGCCAUUAAAACAUCAGAAUUUGACAUAAACUACAUAAAAUAAAUUUGAAUUUUUGGAAUUGGUUACAUGAUUAUCUUAUAUGUACAUGAAUUGCCUUAUACUUCUAAGGUUUGUUUAAGAAAAUUAUUCACACUAAUAUGACCAAUGAGUGAAAAUAAUCUUUUUAAAAAUUUUUAUGGUCUGGGAUUAUGUGAAAUGUAGUUUUUAUAGUAAAUAUUCUAAGUACUACUAAAAUUUUAAAUAUAAAGUAUGGUACUACUGAUUAAACUUUAAAAACCCCCAAAGUACAACUCUUUAGAAAAAAUACAACUACAAAACUGAUACUAUUACGUGACGAAAAGGCGGUGCACGUGACCAUUUGUCAGCGCGCACGUUUUUAAUUCAUUUGUCGGCAAGCACGUUUUUAAUUCAGUUAAAAUUUGACUAGUUGUACUAUUAUUGCUAGUGGUUUCAAUUCUUUAAGAUAGUUGUACCAAUAUUUCUAGUUAGACCUAAAAUUCAACAUAUAAUAAUAUAAAUAAAAUUCAACACAUAACUUAAAUAACACAAUUUACUCUUAAAAACAAACCACAACACAAAAUAGUCUUAAAACAUUUAACAAAAUACUCUAAAAAACAUGUAACUCACUUAUGAACAUAAAUAGUCUUUAAUCUAUAAGAAACCUUUUUACCCCUCUUUGGCCUAGGAGAUUUAGCUUUCUCAAUCCAUUUCUUCACCAUCUUCGUGAUUCUAGGACAUUAUUGUCGCGUUUUCGGGAGCGGUUGAUUUGGGUAACCUUACAAAAAAAAGAUCAUUAAGUUUUAUGAAAAUUAAAAAAAUGUCAUAAUGUAAAAAUGAACCAUUUCUUACCAAAGAUUUCAUCUGUAAUCUUCUUCUCUUUAGCUAGAGAAGCCUCCUUCUCCUCACCUACUCCUUUAGCCUCCUCCUCCUCCUCCUCCUCCUCCUUCUCCUCACCUUCUCAUUUAGCCUCCUCCUCCUUCUCCUUCUCUUCACCAUUAGUACAAUUUUGCCUAUAUCUCCAAAAUAAUCUCAAAUUGCUACCAAAUUCAACAAUUCAAGACAUUAAUAUCCAUAUAUAAUUCAUAUACUAUUAAUACAAAUAUGUCUGAUUUAACUAAUUUUAAAUUUUUUUAAUUUAGUUCACUAAUAUAUAUAAGCUUUUUAAUAUGUUUAUAAAUGUUCUAUAGCCUAUUUCAUAUGAAAAUUUCGAAUAAAGAAAAAGUUGAGUGCAACCCACUUUUGGUUGGUUUUAGAUAGUAAAUAACUAAAACCAUCGAGGGUAUAAGUGAGUUUUAUUUCUUUUUUUAUUAAUAAAAAACAACCUAAUCCUUCAAACGGAACUCUUCACCUAACCCUUAGGAAGAUUUUGACACAAGCCUCCGGCAUCCUUAAUCACGAGGUCACCUCGAAGAUUCUCUUCCCACAACAAACAUGCAGCCCAACCCACUUCUCUAGGUCCACCUUUUCUGGAACCUAGACUCUGAUACCACUGUGGGGCUUUUUUAAAGCUAUGUCCAAUUCUGUCCAUUAGUAUGAUAUUGUCCACUUAGGGCCCAAGUGGCAAAGCCCACACGGAUUUGCUUUUGGGCUCAUUCCCAAAAGCCCUCAUACUAAUCAGAGUUGAACACUACUUAUAUAUUUGACACUUUAUGUCUAAACUUCCGAUGUGGGACUUGGAUUGUAUCCCAACAGCUACUAGAGCUUGAUCUUUAGGGCUAUAACUCAAUAAUUCUCCACCUAGCCGUAACAGAUCGAAGUAGCCUUACCUGAGAAAUGAGAUAGAUAGCUGAUCUAGUAUCCGGAUUCCACUCUCGGUGCCUGAGCUUUCCUUACUCAGACUUCACUCUCAGUAAGUUCAGAGCUGAUUUAACUUACUGAUUGGAAGUAUCUUGGUGAAAAUAUCAGCAGGAUUCCUCAAUGUUGAUAUCUUCGAAACCGCAAUUAACCCAUCCUUGAUGAUCUCUCGUAUCUUGUGAUACUUAACAUCGACAUGCUUGGUCCUUUCAUGAUGAACAUUGUUCUUAGACAGAGCUAUUGCACUUUGAGAGUCACAAAAGAUCUCAACACACUUUUGAUCAUAACCAAACUCUUUCAGUAACCCCUUAAGCCACAAAGCUUCUUUUGCUGCAUCAGUUAACGCCAUGUAUUCAGCCUCCAUGGUUGAUAAUGCCACAACCUUUUGCAAACACGAUUUCCAACUGAUAGUGUUGCCUCUUAAUGUGGAUACAACUCCACUGAUGGACCUCCUCUUAUCCAAAUCCGCAGCAUAAUCAGAAUCACAAUACCCUUUAAGAACAAAUUCAGAAUCUUUCUUGUAACACAACUUGUUUCUCAAUGUACCUUUGAUGUGCAUCAACACCCACUUUACUCAUAACCAAUGCUCUCUGAUCGGAUUCUCCAUGAAUCUACUUAUGAUUCCAACCAGAUAUGCCAAAUCAGUCGUAUUCCAAUCAUAGAGUACAUUAUACUCCCCACCGCAUUAGAGUAUGGUAUUGACCUUAUGUACUCUUUUUCUUCGAGUAAUUGAGCAUCUGUUGCAGCUCUCAUCUUCAAAUGAGCCCCUAAUUGUGUAGCUACAUCCUUAGCUUGUUCCAUUUUAUACAGCUCCAACACUUUUUCAAGGUAACCUUCUUGAGAAAGCCAUAACUUUCCAGCAGCUCGAUCUUUAGUGAUUUCCAUCCCGAGAAUCUUCUUGGCUGCUCCCAAGUCCUUCAUCUCGAACUUGAUACUCAGUUUCUGCUUCAGCUCUAAGACAACACCUUUGUCUUUUGUAACAACGAGCAUAUCAUCCACGUAAACGAGUAGAUAAACCUUUGAUCCAUCAGCAAGAAUCUUGAUAUAAGCACAGCUAUCCCUGAGACUUUGCGUGAAUCCAACCUCUUUCAUGUACCCAUCAAACUUCUGAUUCCAUUUGCGUGGGGAUUGCUUUAAACCAUAGAGAGACUUGUUCAGUAAACACACUUGAUUUGGCUUAAACUGAUCUUCGAAUCCUUCCAGAGCUUCUAUGUAGAUUUUCUCUUCUAAUUCACUAUGUAAAAAUGUUGUUUUUAUAUCUAACAGCUCCAAUUCAAGAUCCUCUUCAACAACAAUAGUAAGCAAAAUCCUUAUAGACACAUGCCUAACCACUGGUGCAAAGAUAUAUGUGUAAUCUACUCCCUUUCUUUGAGCAUACCUCUUGGCCACUAACCGUGCCUUAAACCUCGGUUCUUCUACUCCUGGAAUUCCAGACUUACGUUUGAAAAUCCACCGGCAUCCUAUAAUGCGUUGCCUUUAAGGCUUGUCUACAACAAUCUAGGUAUGAUUCUUCUUGAGUGAAUCUAUUUCCUCUCCCAUACCACCUUUCCAAAACUCCCAAUCUGCGUUACUACGAGCUUCUUUGUAGUUAGCAGGCUCUCUGGAGUCUCCAUCCACCGUAGUAACAAGAGCUUCGGCAUCAAAGAUGUCUUCUUCAUCGUAUGUGCCUUCACUGAAACAACCCUCAAUGUCAUACCUUCUAAGAGCCCUUAUCUCUCUUCUGCUUCUGUCUCUGACUAAAUGGUAACUAUCCGGUGAUUCUGCUCCACUGUCUCCACCUGAUUGAUCAUUCUCUGACCCCUGUUCCUCCUCUGAAACAAACUUAUCCUCUGAAUUCUGAUCAUUCUGAACCGUGCCACUUGAUGAUGCAUUCCCUGUUUCUAAACCAACUGAUUCUUGCAAAUCAUCUCCACCUGAAUCUGAAACAUUAUCACCCUCAAUAUGAAAAUCAAAAGCUAACUCUGUCUGUUCUAACUGACUAUCCUGAACAUGUUUCCCUUUCUGAAUCACAUCCUUGUAGACCACAUUCUCUUGAAAAACAACAUUCCUACUAAUCUAACACUUCUUCUCUUCUAACAACCACACCCUGUAGCCUUUUAUCCCUGUAGGAUAACCCAACAAAACCGCUUUCUUGGCUCGUGGUCUUAGCUUCCCCUCAUCACAAUGUGCAAAACAUAAGCAACCAAACCUCCUUAGAUAGCUAUACGUAGGUGGUCUCCCAAACCACUUCUUGUCUGGUAUCUCGGAAUUGAUUGCUGAUGAUGGUGUCUUGUUGAUCAAAGUCACUGCCGUUUGAGUUGCUUCUGCCCAGAAGACCUUUGGUAGUCCAGAAUCACUGAGCAUACUCCUCACCUUCUCCAUUAUAGUCCAAUUCAUCCUUUCUGCUACCCCAUUAUGUUGGGGUGUGUAUGCACAAGUCCUGUGCCUCACUAUCCCUUUAUCCUUACAGAAUUGAUUGAACAAUGAGUUACAGAACUCCAAACUGUUAUCAGUUCAAGAUUUUAAUCUUCUUCUCUGCUUGAUUCUCCACCAUUGUGCUCCAUUCCACAAAAAUUCCAAAAGCUUCAUCUUUAUGUUUGAGAAAAUAAACCCAUAUCUUCCUUGUAAAGUCAUCAAUAAAAGAGAUGAAGUAUUGAUACUUCCUAAGAGACAAUGGCACACUAGGAGCUCCCCACAAGUCUGAAUGAAUGUAGUCAAGUCUAUCCUUGGUGUCGUGAGUAGCCACCGAGAAACUAACCCUCUUAGCUUUUCCAUAAACACAGUCUUCACACAUUUCCAGCACUGACACUUUCCUUCUGUCUAAAAAGUAGUCUUCUAUGCCAUAACACUAUAUCAUCUGGUUUCCUUUCAGUGAUCAACGACUGGCUUACCUCAGCUCUUCCUUGAAGUAGAUAAAGCAUUUCAUGUCUCCUUCCAGUUAACAGAACUCUCUCAUCAUCUUGAACCCUGAGAAUACCAUUCUUGGAUCCGAAACUAUACCCUUUCUCUUCUAAUGUUCCCAUAGAAAUCAAGUUUCGAUCCAUUUCAGGAAGAUAUCUGACCUCUUUGAGCAAGAAAUAUGAUCCAUCAUGGUUUAUAAUCUUUAUAUUCCCAAUCCCUCUCACUCUUGAAGUCGUUUUGUUACCCAUCCUCACUGAUCCUCCACGGUCUUCAUCUAGAGUUUCAAACCACUCUUUCUUGUGUGUCAAUCCUUGCCUGCAACCUGAGUCCAUGAUCCACUCUACUUCCAAGUUUACACUUGAAGUAUAGUUUGCUUCUGAAACAUAAAAACCGUUUGCUUCAUUCUUGUUUUCCUUUACCAUUCCAGCUUCUCCUUUGCUACCACCUCCACCUUGUUGUCUGGAUUUGCCUAGUGACUUGCUCCUGCCGUUUGGACAAGAGUUUUUGAAAUGUCCUUCCUCUCCGCAGAUCCAACAACCUUUCUUAUUUCUUGACUUUGAGCGAGACUUCCUUGACGACUUGUCUAUGUUCUCAGAUCUUCCUAUGUUAUCUCCUUUAGCAUACAAGCUUUCUGAUGGAGUCUUAGAUCCUCUUGAACUUGACCCGUUGUCCAGUUCCUUCGAGUGAAUAGCUGCUAUUACCUCAUCCAGAGUCAACGUCAUCCUCCCUGAGCUGUAUCUCAGAGUGUCUUUCAGGUGCUCGAACUGUCGCGGUAGUGUGAUCAGAAGUAACACCGCAUGAUCUUCUUCAGAAACUGUAACAUCAAUAUCCUCAAGGUCUGAUAUGAGCUGUAGAAACGCAUCCACAUUGUAAACGCAUCCACAUUGUAAACAAAAAUGAUCCGCCUAGGCGCUAGGCUCUUAUGAACCGUGGCGAUUACCUUCUAAUCCGACUAGAAAAUCAAAAUGUUAUACUAAUAAAUUAUAACAUUUAUUAUUUAUAAAUUGUAAUAAUCCAUAUAUUAUAUCAUAAAAGCUUAAGAUAAUAGACUAAUAUGAAUUUUAUCAUUUAUAAAUUAUGAUAUUUCAUAUAUUUUGUUAUGUAUAUUCAGUAUAUUUUUUAUCUUGUAAACGACUAGACCGCUUAGUUAGAAAUCUAGGCUUACGAGUAGGCUCUCUAAGCACUAGGCAUCGGGUCACCGCCCGUUUAGCGCCUAGCGCUUUCUUGAACACUGACUAAUACUGAUACUGCCUUUCUUCCUCUCUACGCUACUAGAGCUUGAUCUUUAGGGCUAUAACUCAACACUCAAGUAUCUUAUCCUCUCCUUGUUUGUUUACUCAUCAUUUUUCCAGUCUUUUAUAUGCUCGUAUCUGAAACGGCACUGUGUUUGGGGUUCAAGGAGAAUUAUCUGACUGAUUAGAACUUGGAAUCACACGAUUCUUAGAUUGUAUUGUACAUUUUUCUUAGAAUAUAGUUGUUUGUUAAGUUAAUAUAACUUUAUUUUGAUCGGAUGUUCAUGCAUAUAACCGGGAAUAUGUGUUCCUUUGGUUUCUAUGAUUGAAUUUGUGUACUUUGGUUUUCAGGAUCAUUUUUGUUUUUUUUAAUAUAAUGUAAACUCACGUUCAUUGCUUCUGAUUUUUUUACAUUUUCACGAGUCAAAUUUUAGACCUAACUUUGCGGAAAGUCAGAUUUCUUAUGAUAUGCUUAUGGUAGUGGGCUCAUCCUUGGUUGAAUAGUGUGUUUUUUUUUUUGUAAGGCGUUCGAGUAGUUAGUUCUUUCAUUCGUUUAUUUUAUGGAUAUACUUAUGCUUGGGAGUUUCUACAGUUAUCCUGAGGCUUCGGAAGAGGAUCUGAAGAAAUGGGAAAGAUCAUAUCGGAAACUGUCUCCUGCGCACAAGGUAAUUUUUUGUUGCGUUCAGAGAAGAAUUAUAGUUCUUGUUAUUCCUUUCGGCAGGUUGUGUUAUUUGUUGCGUAAGACUAUCGAUAUUAUGUUAAUGUUUUACUGAUAUAGCAGAUUUUAGAGUUCGAAUUGCGUACAUACGAUUAGCAGUCACGGAUAGUUUUGUUAAGAGAUAUGAUAUCAAGACUGGUUGAUUAUUAGUCGAAUCUUCUUUGUUUGUUUAUAAUUACUAGGAGUGAAUCCGCGCAUGCGCGGGUUCUCUUUCUUAUAUUUGUUAUUUAUUUAUUUAUUUUUUUGACAUUAUUUUUAUGUUUAUGUCAAUGUAUUUUCUUGAAAAAACUUAUAAUCUUGUGUAAAUUUGGUUUUUAAUUUAUUUUUUUUAUAUAAUAGCUUGUUUUGAUUAUUAAUCUAUUCAUGCGUUUCUAAUAUCUUUCAUACAUCAUAUUAUAAAUAUUUUUCAUUCAUAUUAUCAUCUAAAUCCUAAAUCACAUUAAUUCGUUAAUUUUUUUAUUUACUAUUUUAAGUGUUUUCACAAAUAUUUCACUUUAUCCAUUUUUCAUGGUUUUAAAAUUUUUAUAUUUAUAUGUCUUUGUUCCACUUAUAAUCAUGUGUAAAUUUGAUUUUUAAUUUAUUUUUUAUAUAAUAGCUUGUUUUGAUUAUUAAUCUAUUUAUGCGUUUCUAAUAUCUUUCAUACAUCAUAUUAUAAAUAUUUUUCAUUCAUAUUAUCAUCUAAAUCCUAAAUCACAUUAAUUCGUUAAUUUUUUUAUUUACUAUUUUAAGUGUUUUCACAAAUAUUUCACUUUAUCCAUUUUUCAUGGUUUUAAAUUUUUUAUAGUUAUAUGUUUUUGUUCCUCUUUUUCUUAUUUUGUGUCACAUUAUUCUCUUUACUUUUGGUAAUUGGUUACAUCGUUGAUUAUUAUUAAAUAUAUUUGUUUCCUAUAGUUUUAUAACUUUGAUUUUUCUUCUUCCAUUUUUAAGCUUUUUAAUUUUUAUUUUAAUCCAUAAUUUGGUAUUUUUCACUUUUAUAUUAAAAUAUGUUUAUCUUGUUUAAUUGAGAGUUAAUAUUUCAAAAAAACAUUAAAAAUGCAUUUAAAUCAUGUAUAUAUAAUACUGAUAUGUUUAUAAUAUUUCUUUGAAUUAAAUAUGAAUAUCAUUUAUUGUAUAUUUCCAUUUUAAUAAAUAUUUAAAUAGUUAAAUUUGAAUUAAAUGAUUUUAAAUUAAAUAAAUAAUUGUUGACACAUGUGAUAUUUUUAUUGGUUGGAAAACGCUGAGGUGUCAACGCAGGAGAACCCCCAUUCUCUCAUUAUAGUAUAUAAUAAAACUAACUGUCUUUACGGUUAAAAAAAAAAAAAAAAAAAAAACUAACUGUCUUCAGUGGGGCUUUUUUUUUUUUACCUCGUACAGGCAUUGGUACCCCAUUACCCUUUGAAGUUUCAGAGAUUAAGAAGGUGAAAUCUGUACUCAGUAGAUAAGUGUCUAGAUUCGUGUGACAAGCUUGCUUGGAUGACAUUUAGAAUAAAUAUUUGUUUCCAUUAUAGUUGCUUCUUCUUUUCUACUUUGGAUUAUUGAAGAAUCGUGAUGCUCCUAAACGUAUUCAUUAACUCGGUACUAAAAAAUGAAAGAAAUAUCACCAUAAUGAUAUCCCCUGGGGAAAUCGAGGUUAGGGACCGUCUAAACGUAUAACAAGCAAGGUUUCUGGUUUUGACAUCAAUGCAUUUUCAUCCUAUUAAAUAUGUGACUUCUCAGGCAUGAUUUUUGAAAAAUGGUUACACAGUAUGAUAACAUAUUUUAGAACUAAUGUGUGAGUUGUCAACUCUUAUAGUUUUCUUUUUCUCAUGUUGGAACACUAAACUCAAUAGUAGUAUGCCAUAUUGAACUUGAGAUAUUUAUAGCGCUUUGUGCUUGUCCCAGAUGUUCUAAGUUAGUCUGAUUUAAAAUACCGGUGAGUUAUUUGACUUUGUUGUUGCAGGUGUAUAUCGACGAAUUCAUACUUCAUAUUUAAUAUGCUUCAGGUCAGUAGCAGACAUUUCUUCUAAUAAUUCCCUUGGCGAUUUAAUUGCUUCAUGCUACUUAUUUGAUGUUGCGAUUCGUAAUUUUUAUGUCGAAAUGCUAGAAAUCCUAAGCAAUUCAUGUCAUGUAAUCAUAAUUACUUGGCAGGCUUUUGAGCCCCCUAUAGACUUGAGUCAGGAUUUUGAUGGUUGUGAUCAAGACUCAAAUAUUGAGUGUGCUCCAAAUGAGAAAUAUAUACUAGAGGAAAGCACGACUCUUCUUGUCAGCCUGCCUUGACAAAUAAUUGUACAUAUCAGGAAGAAAGUAACAGCAUGCGCGACUCAGUAAGACGAACUUUUUCUAUAGAGGUCAGAUCGAGACAUUGAAACUAUAUCCUUUUCAUUUAUAAUCAUUAAUUUAAUUUUAUAAAUGCAGGAGCUUCAGAGGAAGGAUGCUAAUGAUCAUCCCCCCCAAGAAUCACUCUGAAGACACAAAAUUCAAUGAUAAUAGAUGUGGUUGUGGUGGAGGCCAUUUAAAUCACGACCAUGGCAGUGUAAUGUCAACUCAUAUACUUUAAAACCUCAGUUUUCCAGAAACAGAGUUGAACAUCCUUAGCCGUGUGCAGAUUCUUUGGUUAUUGUUUGAGUUAUGUAAGGUUUUUAUGCUGUUGAGCAUCUAUAUUAGAUCCUAUGAAUAUUUCAUGGAAUUCUAGAUCAUAUCAAUAUUACCUAGUAUUCUGUCUUCAGAAAGCGUUCUAUUGUCAAGCUUAUGUUGGUUUUCUUAGUGGAAAAUAUUUCUGCGUAAUCUUCUUGUGAUUAUAAACUUAUCAUACCAAUUCAUGUGAUUUUUCUAAUUCUAAUGUUACUUCUUAAUUUUUUAUAGGCAUCAUUAUCAUCUCAUGAUUGGUUGGACCCAUCGUUACAGACACAUGUUCCUCUGGUUGAUGUAGAUAAGGUAUGGUUUUGAUGUUUAGUAUGGCUCAUGAAACCCAUUUUCUUCUUCCUAGGUAAUCAUAACUGUGUUAGAGCUCUCGUAGUUCAGAGAUAAAGGGAGUAAGGUGAAAUGUUAGAAUAUAUUUUUAAGCUCUGAUGAUCUGAUCCAUUAGGCGGUUUGGACAUGUCUAGGAGUCGACUAUCUCAUGAAUUUAAGUGAAUCCUGUUGAGCUUAAGUCCACAUUACAGCUUCAUAUGCACAUGAUAGAGGUGGCAGGCACACCCGUUGAAUUGCAUAUGUUUGUUGUUGUGUGCAGUGUUCAAAAAAACGCUAGGCGCUAAGCGGGCGGUGCCCCACUGCCUAGUGUCUAGAACGCCUAGUCGGAAGCCUAGAUUUUUAAUUAGGCGGCGUAAUCGUUUACAAGAUAAUAAAUAUAUUGAAUAUACAUAACAAAAUAUAUGAAAUAUCAUAAUUUAUAAGUAAUAAAAUUCAUAUUAGUUUAUUAUAUUAAGAUUUUAUGAUAUAAUAUAUGAAUUAUUAUAAUUUAUAAAUAAUAAAUGUUAUAAUAAUUUAUUAUUAUAAUAUUAUGAUUUUCUAGACGGAUUAAAAGGUAAUCGCCACGGUUCAUGAGAGUCUAGCGCCUAAGCGGCGCUUAAGCGGCCGUCUAGACCGCUUUUUUGAACACUGGUUGUGUGUUUCGCUCACCAAUCGAAUAUGUUGAAAUGCGCAUGGUUUUGUUUGUAUUCUAAUACAGGUUCGCUGUAUAAUAAGAAAUGCGCAGAGGUAACCGUAUUUCUUUUUGUCAUUUUAUUGUUACAAUGAUUUACUCAGAUUUUAUCGUCAAUAGCAUAUCGCAGAUUCAGUUGUUAAUUGUAUAUUACUUUUUACGUACAGGGUCAAAGAGAACGAGACCAAUGCUACAAGCCAAUACUUGACGAAUUUGAUUCUUUGUUUCCUGAUCGUCAGAAGGAGAGGUACAUCGUGCUACUGUUAUUUUUGACUUUUGAGUCUCUGACUUCUCCAAAUUUGGUGGCGCUGCAUAGAGAUAAAUUGGCAAAUUUUUAGUUCCUUAUUUGUCUAUUGAGAACUAACAAGCGAGAUAGACAAGACAACUAGUAUUUGGUUGAGGAUUUUAGUACCUACUGCAUUCACGGUGCUUACUGAUGCACCAUCCUAAUCACUUUAGGAACACGCAACCAUUCAACCGUGGCUUCCAAUUCACGUCAACCUUCGCUUAUUUCCUUUUUAUGGAGUUUUGUUUUCUCUUUCUAUUAUUUGGAUUAUUUCCUUUUCGUUUUAGUAUUCCUAUUUUAAUAAGGAAAGUCGUUUGUGACCGACCUUGAAGGCUUAUAUAAAUCCAUAGCUAUGACUUUUUAGAAUUCAGUUUUUGAAGUUAUAAAAUCGAGAGUUAUCUCUUUUGCCUUAUUUUGAUUUGAUUUAGUUCAUCAAUCCAGGAAGCCUUGAUUUGAUUUGAUUCAAUUCAUCAAAUUAAGAAGUCAGGUCUCUAGAGAUUGUCAAAUCCCUAUAUUGAACUGAAUUAUCAAACCCUACGCUGCGCCAGGUUAGUAUCAGAGCUUUGCUAUGUUCCAUUACGAUGCCGAGAGAAAAAGGAAACGCAGCCCCAACGGAGGCUGAACUCAACCGUUAAGCUAUUGUGGAGAUUCAGGAGCAGAUGCAUGCAAUGGCUACAGCCAUGCAGGUGCUUGUCGUACAACGACCACCGCCACCGGUGGCAGCUCCCGUUGCACCCGUUGACGAAGACGACGAGGAAGAUGAAAACCCGUUUGCGGCACUCCGCGACAAUCCUGCGAUCCAACACCUUCCUGUUAAUGAUUUCAAUUGGGAGAAUGGAUUUAAAUCAGAGAUUCCAGAGUUUCAUGGUGGACCAACGGCAGAGGAGCUGCUUGAUUGGAUCGUCACCAUGGAAGAGAUUAUGGAGUUCAAACAUGUCCCCCUGGAUCGUUGUGUCCCUGUCCUUGCUAUGCGUUUUCGGGGCAGAGCGACAGCUUGGUGGGCUCAACUCAAAGCAACACGUACUCGUUUGGGCAAGCCGAAAGUGCUGUCAUGGGAAAAGCUGAAAUCUAAGAUGAGAAAGACCUUCUUACCGUACAACUACGAUCAAGUCAUGUUUCAACGUCUUCACAAUUUACGUCAAGGAUCGAGUACUGUGUUGCAGAUUACGCGACCGAAUUUUUUUUGAUUCUUACUCGUGUUGAUAUUCAGGAUUCUGAACAUCAGCUUGUGGCUCGAUUCGUUGCGGGUCUGCGUCAGCAAAACCAGCAUACCAUUAAUCUGUUCAACCCACUUACGAUUUCGGAAGCUCAUCAACAAGCUUUAACCAUUGAAGCUCAGACGAGGAGCAAUUAUUCGUCGUGGACGGCCUCUCGUCCGUCGCGCAGCUCUCCGAUUCUCUCGCCUCAACAACCAGCGGAAGAAUCAUCUCAGAAACCGGAAACAGCUCUUGUCCUAUCGCUGACAAUCGUCCAUCUCGGCCAAGUUCCCUUCACUGUUUCUCUUGUGGUGAAAUUGGUCAUCGCCAGUCUAAUUGCCCAACACGUAAUCGAAGAAGGCUUCUUCUUGAUGUUGCUGGUAACGACGUGGAGGUUGUCUAUGAUGAAGAGUUACCAGAGGUCGCAGCAAACACGGAGGUUUUAACCGCUGAUGUUGGUACUGCACUGAUGUUUCGUCGUGUUUGGUUAGCUCCUCGUGGACCAGAUGAGCCUCCUCAAUGGCAUAAUCUAUUUCAUUACAAAUGUACUGUGGAGGGAAAGGUUUGCAAUCUUAUUGUUGAUUCCGGGAGUAGCGAAAACAUAGUAGCGGAAGAAGUUGUUAAUAAACUUCAUCUUCCGAUGGAACAGCGCCCUUUUCCAUAUAAGCUCGGCUGGUUGGAUAAGAAAACCGACGUCUUGACCACUCGUCGUGCUUUGAUUUCCUUCUCUAUUGGUAAUAGUUACAAGGAUCAGUUACACUUUGAUGUUGCUCCCAUGGAUGCUUGUCAUCUUCUUUUCGGGCGCCCUUGGUUAUACGAUCGCCGGGUUCAACAUGAUGGUUUCCUCAACACGUAUAGUUUUCGUUUUCAAGAGCGCAACUUUACGUUACAACCAUCUUUACCAGAACCGCACGUUGCGUCCUCGCCUUCUGUCCUGGUUCUCCAACGCAAACCAUUUGAGACUACGAUGCACGUGGAAGGUCGGGUUUUGUUCUUGUUACCAACAGUAGCUUCGUCAACUGUCACUACGCCUAUUCCUUCCGACUUUGAGGCUCUUGUCAGUGAGCUCGCUGAUGUCUUUCCUGAUGAUUUUCCCUCUGGUUUACCUCCCCUUCGUGACAUUCAGCCUCGUAUUGAUUUAGUUCCUGAUGCACUUCUUCCUAAUCGACCGCACUAUCGUAUGAGUCCGGCGGAACAUGAAGAACUACGUCGUCAGGUCGAAGAGUUGGUCACCAAGGGUUUCUUACGUGAGAGUUUGAGCCCGUGUGCAGUCCCGGCCUUGCUUAUCCCUAAGAAAGAUGGUUCAUGGCGGAUAUGUGUGGAUAGUCGGGCCAUUAAUAAAAUCACUGUUCGGUACCGGUUCCCUAUUCCUCGUCUUGAUGAUUUGCUUGACCAAAUUGGUGCUGCUUCCAUCUUUUCCAAACUUUAUUUGAAAAGUGGAUAUCAUCAAAUUCGCAUCCGUCCCGGUGAUGAAUGGAAAACGGCAUUCAAAACAAGAGAAGGGCUUUUUGAGUGGCUUGUUAUGCCUUUUGGUUUGUCCAACACACCAAGUACCUUUAUGCGGGUUAUGAAUCAGGCACUUCGUCCAUUUAUCUGUAAGUUUGUGGUGGUUUACUUCGAUGAUAUAUUGAUCUUCAGUAUGUCGGUAAGGGAGCAUAUUGCACAUUUGCGGGAGGUGCUACUUGUUCUUCGGCGUGAUCACCUUUAUGCGACACUUAAGAAGUGUGAGUUCGGUUCUGAAACCGUUCACUUCCUUGGGUAUAUUGUCUCUGCUCGUGGGUUGGCUGUUGAUCCAAGCAAAGUGGAGGCUAUUCAGUCAUGGCCAACACCUACUACGCUGUCGGAGAUUCGAAGCUUUCAUGGGCUUGCGUCCUUUUACCGCCGUUUUGUUCCACAGUUUAGCAGUUUAAUGGCUCCUCUCACAGAUUGUAUACGCCGUGAUGGUCUGUUUUUGUGGACACCAGAAGCUGCGAGCCUUUGAGACGGUCAAACUUAAACUCGUCUCAGCCCCUAUUCUGGCUUUACCGGAUUUUUCGCAGGUCUUUGAGCUACAUAGUGAUGCC
Molecule: long non-coding RNA, 52998 nt
Filed under: Eutrema salsugineum
Lineage: Eukaryota; Viridiplantae; Streptophyta; Magnoliopsida; Brassicales; Brassicaceae
Description: long non-coding RNA (ESAL_LNC000723)
Source: RNAcentral